AAAAAAAAAAAAAAAAAAAAAAACAUACCUCGCUCAAAAAAAAAAAAAAAUCCUUUUCCGAAACGUUUACCCUCCUCUUUCCUAUAAAAAAAAAAAUCAGUCAACCAAAAAAAUUUAAUCUCUUAUUUGCUUAAUUAUUUAUUUAUUUUGAGGCAUAAUAUAGAUUGCUAUUUUUUUUACUUAAUUAGAUUAUUUUUUUAGCUCUUUAUUCUUAUAUUCUUAAAAAAUAUGAGUAUUUUAUACCAAUAACAUAAAUCUUGAGAGAAAAAAAAAAUUUAAUUUAAUAGCCGAAUUUUUGAUUCCGAAUUUUUAAUUGAGGAACGUAUAAUAUCCGUAUAAAUCACGUAUCCGAAUAAUUGGCGAAUUCGUUUUUUAGCCGUAUUUUUUAACGAAUUUAAAAAUUAGAAGACGAAUUUUAUCCGAAUUAUAUCCGUACCGAAUUUUUGCCGAAUCCGAAUUAACUAACUAUGGUGCUGAGCCCCCGGCGUAACAGAUUAUUUGGUAUCAGCUAGGGGUUAAGUUUUAGGGGAGCCUAGCAGCCUUAGGCCUGUUGGAACUAUAGGAAAUAGCCUUGUGAGAGACGAGGUCGUAUUUCACUUGUGAGCGAAAGUAUCGAUGGAUUGGGUAUUAUGCUAAUCUAUAAAGUAGAGUUGAUUGGAUUGAUUUGGCUUUCUAACUUCGCGGUGGUUACGUUGGCGGCCGACAACGUAACAGCAUCCGGGAGUUAGUGGUGAUAACACUUCCUUACUUUCGUAUGAUUUUGGGUUUUACUUGAGCGGGGAAUGCGAUAAAUGCGUGUUUCACUGAACUUACGUACCCUUUAUGAUGUUGUAGUGACGAUGACCGAUUACUCGCUCCCAAUCUGCCGGGCGGACAAUACUGCAAACUUCGAGGAGUCGAGACCUCCGCUACCUUCCGGAUCCAGCGAGGUUCCGUGAGUGAGUGGCCAAGCUGCCGGCCUCUCACUGAUUUGGCCCUCAGCAGGCGGAGGCGGCCCUGACAGCAGACCGAGGCGGCGUGCUGACAGGAGAAUAGCAGCGGAUAAGCGUCUGAGGACUAUCUACUUAUUGCAGGCAGGCGCAGCAUUCCAGGGAGACUCAGCCCCUCACUGCGAGCACCAGUGUGGACAGCGAGCGCGGAGAGGCCGUCCCCGUUCCAGUUCUCGCGGUGCGCGCCUCGGCCGCACGCCGCAGGAGGAGGGUUUUGGUGGCACUACCUUGUGCUGAGGCCCCCCGAUUGAGCAGCUUUUCCUACCUUGGUUGAGGGGGCGGAACGAGUACCAGACUGAUGAGCGCCUCAACUAGUUUAGGCAGGUGUCAGUCCCCGAGUCUUCGACGGCCGAGAAAGUCGACACUGGAUCGUGGAGCAAGUGGUUAAUUGCAUAUGGAGAAGCUGCUUCCGCGACACCUUCCGUGGAGGAGCAGGGUGACAGAGUUUGGCUCGCAACCACCACUUGGACGGCGAGGACCUAACCGCUGGUGGUUGAUUUCCAAGGUUUAUCUACCCCAGCACUGACUUGGCAGCUAUCAUUGGACGAGUCAAGGAGGGCUUCUUCUCGGGCACUACUUCCAUGACCAGGCAUCAAAGCGGAAGAUGGACAAGAUCUGGCGCAACUUGCGCCAAGGCGACCGAGCCGUAGCUGAGUAACGAGAGGGAGUUUUCUCGGUUUUGCAUUGCGUGCCUUCCGUCGUUGCGGGCUUACCGACGAGGACAAGGCCCGCAUCUUCGAGUCGAGGAUUGAGACCCGUCUAUCUUCGUUUGUGGCAAUCUCUAGACCUCCAAACCUACCGAGUGUGGAUCGCGCGCUCUAUGUGUGGAAACGCGCGGCAGAAGUUCAGGAGUAAGUCGAAGCAUAGGGGACAAGGGUACAGGCCAAGAGGCCUCGCGACUGAGGUGCGAGCGACAGACUCACUCUAGAGAGGCCGCCGAAGCAUUCAAGAGCCAGCACCCGUGGGCGGCGGCUCAGCAGCACAGCGAGGAGAAAUACGAUCGCAGCCGGCCUUCCCGUGUGUGUUAUCUGCGGUGGUCCCGUCAUUAACUCACCGGCAGUGUCCCCACAGCGGGCGGCAGGUGUUUCCAGUGUGGCCAGGAGGGCCUUACGUCCGUACGCGAGUUUCCCGAGAGUUCGUCACGCACCGUCGACUCCGCAUCGGCACCGCUUUACCAGCCGUCACACAAUGGCGGGGCCUACGACUUCGUCGACAUCAGAUCAGCCUGGUGGCGCCAUCCGUCCAGCGCCAGUAACGAGGGAUCUCGACAGUCCCUGAGUGGGCCCAUCGCAUUAACGCGCUUCAGACCGAGGAGGCGGAAGCAGCCGAGGAGUGUUUGCAGGUAUUAUUAUUACUUGAUUGCAUUAGAGUUCGUGCUUUAUUCGAUACCGUGGUGCAUCCAUUCAUUUCAUAGAUCGCUGUUUGCACAAGUUGCAUGGCAAUCCCUUUGGUUUUCUUGGUUUGCAUAGCGGGACAUGUUUUGUACGCCGACACGUUUUGGAUAUGUAGAGAGUAUAGCCCCAGUUGCCCUGUUCGGGUAGAAAAUUGGUUAUGCCUGUAGAUUUUACUAGCUUUGCGCAAGAUGGGGGAUUUUGAUGUGGUGCUUGGGCAUGGAUUUGGGUUGACCAACGUAUUAUUCCAGCGAUUGGAUUCCAAGAAUCGCACGGUAGCUUUUAGAGAACUGGACAUGACCGCUGGUGGUAUUUUGUGGAUGCGCAGAGUUUUCGUGUUUGCGAUUACGAUCAGCUCGUCUCUCGAGCGAGGCAGCUGAUUAAAGUAGAGGUUGCGUACCUAUUUGGCUUAGUUGUGGUGUUUAAGGGGCGAGGAUGACACCCCUAGGAUCGAGACUAUCCCGGUGGUGCGGGGUUUUUUCUGAGAUGUGUUUUUCCAGCUGAGCUAGACCACGGGUAUGCCUCGUGAUAGGGAGAUUGAGUUUGUGGUAGAGUCUCGUCCCUGGACUACCCCAAUCUCAAAAGGCAACCCUAGUAGGAUGGCACGCGGCCAGAGCUGAGGGAAGCUGAGGCACAGCGGCAGGAUUUGUUGCACAAAGGCUUAUUCGUACCGGUGGCGUUUCGCCCUUGGGGAGCACCAAGUUUUGUUCGUUAAAAGAAAGGACGGUCAUUCUUCGCCUUUGGCGUGGAUUAAUCGUGAAACUUAAUAAAGUCACGAUCAAGAACAAGUAUCCGUUGCCUGAGGAAUCGACAACAGUUGUUUAAUCAUGUGCUUCAAAGGGAUGCAUUGUGUGUAUUCCAAGAUCUGACGUUGCAGUCGGAUACCACCAGUUUGAAGACAAGCGCGAGACGUAUCAAACGACGGGUUCCAGUGACACGGUAUGGAGCAUUAUGAUUGUCCACAGUUAUGCCGUUCGGUUAUUUUUUUUUUUUUUUUUAUAACUAAUAUGCCCGGUCGCACUUUUAUGGAUCUAAAUGAACCAUUGUUUUCAAAAGCCGUAUCUAGACAGGUUUCGUCGGUGGUGCUUUUCACAUCGACGAUAUUUUGGUCUACUCCGAAGUGAUGCAGAUCACUGAGGAUCAUGUUAGGAUUGUACUCCAAGUACUUCGGGACAAGGAGCUUUAAUGCGCAAGUUGAAGAAUGUGAAUUUUGGGCUUGAGAGGUAUCUUUCCGCUUAAGACACUUGAUUUCGGGAUCGGUGUAUAUGGCCGUUGAUUCCCAAGAAGAUUGAAGCAACUAAAGGAUUGGCGAACCGACCGAGCGUCAAGGAGAUACGGAGCUAUCUUGAUUGGCCGGUACUACUGGAGAUUCGUUGAUACGGAUCUUGCAAGUUAUCUACUCCCCUAUUCACGAGGCUCCACGCACAACAGGAGUCAAGUUCAUUUGGAAUGGACGACGUGCGAGCGAAGCUUCGCAAGAGUUGGAAGCUAGAGAAUGACGGACCGUUUCCGAUCUUGACCCUACCAAGUCAGCUGGAGCAGGGAUUGGUUUAUAGUGAUGGCUUACUUAAAUGGAUUGGCCUGUGUAUUGAUGCAGGAUGCAAAGGUGGAUUCGCGUAUGCUUCCGCCAACUAACGUGGAUUAUGAGAAAGAACAACGGAACGCAUGAUUAUGGAUUGGCGGCCGUAGUGUACGUUAUUGGCUAUGGCGGCCACUAUCUUUAUGGCGAGCGUGUGAAGUAUACAUCGGAUCACAAGAGUUUACAGUAGCUGUUUACUCAGCAAGGGUUGAACCUGAGAGCAAGGCCGAUGGUGGAGCUACUUCAAGGAUUAUGAUCUGAGUAUUCUUGUAAUCCACUCGGCGCAAGGCUAUACGUGGUGGCGUAUGCGCUAAUAGGAAAUCGAUGAAACAACUUAGGCUUAUGCAUGUUGUGACGCAACUGCAGUGAUCGACAAUGAAGCGGUUUGAGUUGGGAUUAGUGACUCCUGACAAAUUCUCGCCUAUAAGAUUGAUGACAUUGGUGUGCAAGUCCUACAUUGUUGAUAGAAUUAAAGAAAAGCAAGCCUUUCUGAUGUGGAGUUGCAAAAGAUGCCGAGGUAAAAGGUUGAUGGUUGCAACCGGUGACAUUCGCUUUUUGGACGAUCAGGGAUUGAUGCGUUUUCGUGGGCGGUAUUUGUAUACGCCGCGGACAGAAAUUAAAGAAACCAUUUCUUAAGAAGCGGCACCGAGCGCCAUAAUGUAUCAUUCCGGUGGCACCAAGAGUACAAGGUAUCUAAAGUGCUCUAGUGGUGGGCCCGGGAUGAAAAAAGAACGUUGGCGAGUUGUACUUGUUGUCCUAAACUUGCCAACAAUGUAAAUGGCAGAGCAGCCGAUUAUACCGCGGGGAAGCUUCAGAAGUUACUAUUCAGUGUGGAAGUGGGAGAAGAUCACCAUGGACUUUGUGACAAUGAUUGCCAACGCUCACUAGGCGGGUCAUGAACGCUAUGUUUGGUGAUCGUGGAUAGGUUGACGAAGUCGCGUCACUUCAUAGCCUAUUCAUACGACUUGGACCGGAGAGAUACUCGCAACAAGUGUACUUGAUGAGAUUGGUGGCGACUUCAUGGGAGUGCCUACAUCUAUUGUAUCGAUGCGCGAGGACAUCGCGUGUCGUGUCUCACUUUUGAGGAGUCUACAAGACGCCUUAGGCACUCGUUUGGACUUCAGUACUGCUUUCCACGCCCUUUCAGCUCAUUAUAAAUAUAAAACAGAGUGAUGGGCAUUCAGAGCGCCCCUAUUCAGACUUAGAGGAUAUGCUCCGAGCAUGUGUGAUAGACUUCCAGGAGGAUGUCGCAGCAUCUACCUAAUGGCGGAGUUUGGCUUAUAACAACAGUUAUCAAGCAAGCAUCAGAUGGCGCCCUCCGAAGCACUUUUAUGGACGGAAGUGUAGAUCGCCGCUAUUCAUUGGAUGUGAAGUCUGCGAGAGACUGCUUGGGCCCUGAUUGUGCGUCCAGGAAUGAGGAACAAGGUUCGAAUUGCUCGGAGCGACUUUUGACCGGCGCAGAGUAACAGAGAGCUACGCCGAUCGAACGAGGCGAGACUUGGAGUUCCAAUUGGAGACGCAUGUUUUCUUGAGAGGUCUCGGGUCCGAUCUAGCGGAAUCAAGAGAUUCGGGAUUCGGGGAAAUGUUGAGCCCUUUCAUUGACCGUAUGAGAUCUUGGAGCGUUAGUCCGGUACGCGUAUCGACUUGCUCUAAUCCGCCGAAUCUAUCCGGCGUGCAUAACGUCUUUUCAUGUAUGCUGGUGCCUUCGGAGGUACAUUUAUGACUCAGCCACGUUUUGGAGGCUAUAUCCGUGAGCUGCGCGAGGAUUUGAGCUCAAAGGAGGACAAUUCCUGUGAAGAUUCUAGCUCAAGAAUGAAGCUGUCGAUCGGGAUAUUCCGUAUGUGAAGGUCCUUUGAGGCAACAACGGUGAGCGGGAGGCCACGUGGGAGCUGGAGAGCGCUUUGCAGGAGAGCUAUCCCAUCUUUUUCAGAUGGGAGUCUUGAGGUAUGACUUUGCUUUCGAGUUUCGGCGAGGAAAGGAAACUCCUCUUUUAGGAGGGGUUGAAUGUAACACACUGGACGUUUGCAAAUUGUAAGGUUCGAGUGUUUGACAAAUUUGUGUGUCGAGCUUUCGCAAGCUUUCUGGUUGGUCGUUGACAGUGGUCCGACUACUGGCUUCAGUCGAGAAUUUGUUUUUAACUUGGUAGCCAAAAUCCGAAAAUUAGAGCAUUGGACAGCUCUCAGGUUGCCUGCAGCAAGAGCUUGGGAACCGGAAGCAAGUUGGUCUUGUACCGUACAGAGGAUUGAUGGUUUACCGGUACAUGCGCAUACGGCUUGUACCGGUAACAUGAGCCGCAGACGCCGGGCGACCCGAGCCUCGGCGUUUGCAUUUUCAGUGGGCCUUGUAACCCGUACAAGAACCCGUGUAGUACGUACAAGGUGCAGAUUUUUCGUGGCCAGUUUGAACUGCAUGGGGGUUUUUCGCAGAUUGUAGCCUAAUCUUAUAACAGCACCCACGCCCUUAGGGGCUUCUUUUUGUGCUUGGGACCUGAGGAGGAGAAGGUGAGACAGGAGCUCCACCUACUCCACCUUGUAUUGAUCUCCGUUGUAGAUGGAUUUUGAUGGAUAAUACCCUUUUCUUUUCCUCUUUUAAUUAUGGCUUUCCACGCAUUGAUGGGAGCUAGAAGCUCUGGAUUUGAGGCUUGGUGAAGGAGGGAUCUUUGGACUUGAUGGUUUAGAGCUUGGAUUGGAGGCAUUUUAGAGGUAAAUUGACUUGAUCUUUUCUCUCAAUUCCUAGCUUUAUUGUUGUUUUUUGAAUAACCUAGAAUGAGGUUUUAAGGGCUUAUUUUGGGCAUGUUUGAAUCUAGGCUUUUGAGGCUAGAUUGUUGGGAUAGAGGCUUCCAUUUGUUGGAUUGGAAGGCUCUGAGCUCUCUUUUAGAGCUUUAGAGUGAGAUUUUUGCAGCUCAGAGGUGAGUUUUCCUCACCUAUCGCUUAUUAGCCUUAAUGAUUGAUCUAGGUAUUGUUCGUUUGCUCGUGACACAUGUUUCUAUAGCCUCUAGGGUACUAGGAGACUAGAGGACACCCUCUGUGGAGUGAACGAAGAGUUUCGUUUCAUUCGGUGGGUUUGCUUCGGAAAAUAGGGCGAAAUGGCCCUAUGCUCUUUUGUACUUGGUUUAAAAUUUUUAAAUUCAUUUCUAUAUCUAAAAUGAAAUUUAUAUGAAUUUUAGAGCACUUAAAAUGCAUGCUUGUAUUAUGAAAAAUUCACUAUAUGAUAUCGUAGAGCUAUAGAGUAGAUUGCAUGCAUUACGGAAAAAGUGUUCAUUUGCAAGUGGACAAUUGUAAUCUCUUAUGAGGAAUCGUGACUUGGAACCAUGUACUUUCGAAAACAUAUUCCAUGUUGGCCUUGACAUACGAAAAACAAGAGUGUCAAAUCAGGGCACUCUGAAACUAGUAAACUAUUGAACUGCAAUAUAGAGACAUAUUGAUUAGCCCACUAAAACGUAAUCUGUUGUAUCUAUGUAGAUGACAUGAUGACAUACGAAUAGGCCAUUGAGAAUACGCGAUAUAUUCCAUGUUGUAACAUGAGAUUUUGUAAGCUUGAGACGGAUCAUUCUUGCUUGCGCAUUUUGCUUUCAUCUCGCACAUGCUUGUGAGGGUUCGCUCCAUACAACCCCGCGCACUCCGAGAUAGCAUCGCGACAUUAUUCGCCCGGCGGGAUUGGCGCCGAGUUGGAGUGCCGUGGGGAGGCUAAUCUCCUAAAGUGGUGAUGUUGACUACGACACGGCAUAGGCACGGCGCUAGGCCUGGAGUGGCGGGGCGCGAGACAGCCUCGGGUGGGUCUUAUAUGAUUGGGACUUCUGGUGACAGAACAGCUAUGAACUUUAUAACUACUUAAAGUGGACUUGGCCUAGAAUAGUAAACAUGACAUUUUUACUAUUACAAACAUUGUGGACUUUAGUAGUUGCAAUAAACAUGCCUUAUAAUUUGGGGUUCAUGUGCAUAUGAGCUAGUAGUUGCUUCUCCUUAUUAUGUAAAAUUAUGCUAAAGUAGAGGUAUUCAUGAUUGAUUGGGUUACUCGUUAUUUAUAUCCGCUUACAGCAGCCGCAUUUAUCGGCCUUUUGUUAUAUGUGUACACUGACCCGUUUUUCUGUAGUUUCGGGCCUAAGCAAAUGAGCAUCUAUCGAAUGAAUGUGGCAUGCAUCCAGUAUCGAAUAAAGUCUAGGCUCUAGUGCCCUCUGAUCGAGAUAAUACGCCUACCACGAGUCGUCGGGGACGGAAUCGGCUCACUCCUCCACCUUAUGUGGCAACCAGAACGUCUAGGUGGUUUACUCUUUAUUUUGUAGUUGAGAGAGUGAGAGGUUUUGUAUCCAUGUAUAGAGACCACCUGAGUAACUACCUAUAGCACUUGUAUCUGGAAUUUUCUUGUAUCACUUUAUGUUUUAUUUAGUGGAUUUACAGUUCUAUCCUUAUCCCUUGUUGUAGCAUUAAGACAUUUAUUAUGCUCUGAUACUCCUAGAUGUCUUUUAUUAUUGCUUUUAUUAUUGUUGUUUGUAGACGCCUUAUAUGUUUUAGACGUAUGGCGGGUCUGGCACGCGCCGGGCGGGCUUCUGCUGGGUCCCGGGGCGUGACAGGACCACAUGGAGGUCCGCAGACGGUCCCGGGCUUGGAUGCACUUGGAGCUCCCUCCCCACCUUGGGAUUGAAAGGUGAGUUAUUGGCGAACCCUAGGGCUUCGCCACAGAUUGGGUAAAAGAACAGUGAACAUUUUCAUUGAACAUUAUUCUUCAAACAUGGAUCGAAUUCGUUAGCAUGAUAGUAAACCUUUACUAUUUGAUGCAUUGUAUGAGUUUUAGUUGCAUCCCAGUUGAGUGGAUUUACGGCUGAGGUGCAUGUGAGACGUCCUUCACCUUGGGCCUGGCUCUGUGCGGUAUUCCGCGUGUGAUUUACUCAAGACCGAGUCGAGUGGAUAGCUUAUAAAAGCAUGUUAAACCCUAUGAGCAGAAUUGUAAUUGACAAGAAUCUAAGAUAGAGGAAAACUUAGAAGUCAAUUGGUUGAACUGUGAAUAAUAAGAAUAAAAGUAGUAUCGAUUGAACUACUAGUUGGUUGCAUGGUUGCAUAAACUGCAUGAAUUUCAUAUUGCAUAUUGUGAGGCACAACAUGUAUUUCAAUACUUGAAUAUAUAUAUCUGUUGGAUAUCUGUUGGACUAACAUAUUGCAGGGCCUUAGACCUAUUGGUCGAGCUUUUUCCCUUAGGUGGCCGUACCCACUGGGAAUCAUGGAGUUGGUUCUCACCCUACGUUGUUUUGGGGUGUUACAGGUUCGCACGUGAGCGGCGCGGCGGCGCAAGGCGAGGGCGUAGCUCCAUAGAUAGCGCCCUACCCCAGAGAGACCAGAGAUAGAGGUACCCCGAGUCGGCAUAGCCUAGGGGUAGAGGGAAAAGAAAAAGAGCAAACUUGUAAUAAUAUUACGAUCAUUAAUUGUAUUUGGAAGAAAAUGUAAUGUAAUAAUGCUAAUGUGAUGUAAAAAUGAAUCUAAUGGGAAUGCUUGUAAUAACAUAGGAAGUGUUAUGUUGUUUGAUACCUUCCUUAUGCAAUCUUGCUUGAAUACUGUUCUUGGUUGGAACUUCUUGUACUUGUAUUGAUUGCGACGCCUAGGACGUACAGGGGAGACUCUGUCCGUUUUGCGGUCUGUCGGCGGCGCCGCGACCUCGGCCAAAUAGGCGGGUGGUCGCGGGUCGUGACACCCGCCCACUCGGUGCCCUCGAUGCCUCCGGCUGAGGCGAUGAAGAUGAGCGUCCAGCUGACAUAGCCGGCGGUAAUCCCGCCUGCUGCCUCAGGGUAUAAGGAACUGAUGCCGGGGUCGGUGCAGAUUAACCCCAGCUAGGGCACUCUCGUGAUACAUCCCUAGGUUGGCCACACUUGAAGCAUUUUCCCUUCCGCUGAGGGCAUGACGGCGGUUGAUGGUUGCCGCCGCAAAUAACACAACGAGAUAGCCUCCAACCCCUCAACUACUGUCGGGGAUACCGAGGGGGUUUCUUAGCAUUUGGCCGGCCCCCGGUGCCACCCGCCGUUCGCUUCUUGCUCUUCUCCUUUGCCUCGGCUGCGGACUCGCGCUCCUCGCGUUCGUGGGCAUAACCAUGCUCCGCCCACAGAGCUCGAUCAAAGACCUCCGCAAAGGUCGUGAGCUUAAGGAUUUGCACGGCCCUAUGAAUCCCCUGCCGCAAUCCUCGUAGGAACCAGUCUGCUCGAUCCCGGUCAUCCCUAACAACAUCCGGGACGCAGUCAAUGAGGUGGGACAACUCCUGUUCGUAGUCUGCCACGGAGCGAUCCCAUUGCCUCAAUUUGUGGAAUUUCUCUUGCAACUUCUGCUUCACCGUAUCGGGGAAGUAGUUGGCGAACACCGCCCUCUGGAACUCCUCCCACAACAUAGGCGGAAGAUCGGGUGAACGAUCCCACCUAACACGCUUCCACCACACCUUCGCCGCUUUCUCCAGGCAAUGUGUGGCGAGAUACACCUUGUCCUUCUCCAAGGUGUUAAGAUCCUCGAAAAGUGUUUCCAUGGAGUCGAUCCAGGACUCCACCACCGCCGGUUCCACCACCCCCCCUUCGAAGGUAGGUGGGCUGAACUUCUGAAACUGAAUGAGAGCCGCCAACGCGCGCUCCCGCUCCGCCUCCUCCGUUGCACUAUCGAGGUUUGAGAUCCCCGAUCCAGCCGGCACCAUCAUAACUGGCACGGUCGCCACACCCUCGGCCGCACUCGGCACCACUGCAGGAGGCGCAGGGUGCACGGCCUCCACGGGCGCCGCCGCCGCCGCCUGCUGCCAUUCCAAGGCCUCCUGGAGCCUUUGGAUUUGCUCCUCUUGGCGCUGAACGGAUUCCUCUUGGCGCUGAACAAAUUCCGCCUACUGCCGCACUACGCCAAUAAGCGCGACCAUCUACUCCCGAAGCUCCCCGCCGCCGCCUGCUCCGGGUUGCACGGGAGCCGUACUUGACUCCUCGACCAUAGACCUCGUCUGCGGUCGACCACGAGGUAGCUUAGGUCGUCCACGAGGGGGCAUUGCUUCCUAAAACGAAGCGACUCACGUUAGUUACAUAGACAACAUACUCGAUUAUACCCAAUCCGGCGAAGGCAUAUAAGUGUAUUCGUUUUCAUUCCAGAGCGUCAUGUCGUCGGCCGCCGAUCAUAACACAAGGAAAAGAAAACAGAUAACAACUUAAGUUUAGUCCCUAUUCACAUUAGAGACAUAAUUACAUCAACCCAAUCCAUGCCUUCGCUAUAACUUGUUUAACGUCACUCACGUUUCCUAGAUCUUUAAGGUUUCCAUUCCUAAGGAUCUCUAGGUCCAUCCUAUGCUUUCACUUUUUGGCUCUUUACGCUCGAGUACCAUCUUAUCUGUCACGCCCCGAGCCCGAUCCUUUUGGCCGGUUCGAGAGCGUCGAACAGACGCUGAACGGACAGAGCCUCCCCUAUCCGCCCAAGGCUCAACAACAAGUAUCAAUAGAGUAUAAAGUUUGCAUAAGCGGAAGUAUACACAAUGGCUUGCACGAGGGCAAGCAAUAGCCAAUAGUGAGAGUAAUAAACUACACUUAGGAAAAUCACUUACAUUUUUGCAUCAUUUCUUCUUUAUUUACAUCUCAUAUCUCGAAAAUAUAACUUUUGACAUUUAAAGUAAAUAUCCUUUACAUCAUCUAUUUUAACAUGUUCAUGGUACUAAAAUCAUCAAAUACAAAAGAUGAGAUAUCGAAAGGGUAUGCAACUAAGAAAUAAAAAGUCUUGGGCGGUCUCUACCUAGGGCGCGAUGCCUUUACCGCGGUCGUCUGCAGGCUCGCUCGGUCCCGGCUCUGUGGAAAUAGGGGUGCGAGAACUACAACAAAGUUCCCAGUGGGUUCAGCAACCAACCACGCCGACUAUCCCACUGGGUCUAAUCAGGCAUAAUAGAAUAGAAGAAAGAAAGUAACCAACUAACAAAUGCAACUAAUAUGCCUGAACAAUAUUAAAAUGCGAUGCUCGAUAUAAUGUUCAUGAUGAAUGCAAGAUUACAAUUUCUUUACCCAAUCUCUUGGCUAACCCGUCGGUUUCGCCCUCAACAAACUCACCAACCCAAAAUCCUAUUAACCGGGGAGAUACCCGCUACAACCCGAUAGGACCGUCCUCUGGGAGAUACCCGCUACGACCCAGUGAUGUCGACUCCGGAGCACAUCGCCCGAGGGGGAGCUACCAACCUCGAGCAAGGAUUAAAGGUGAGUACGAUUAAUCCUACAUUGAGGAUUCCAAGUUCAAUCCAUUUCUUAACUUAAGGAAGACCAUGCUCAAUGACCCUUAACUCUAAGGUUGAAAUGUCAUAAUAUCUCAAUCAUUCUUUUCUUUGCAUUCUUUACCAACACUAGUGUCAUAUACACUACCAAGUUCUUGUACUCAUGUCACACUUGUUUUCUAAGUGCUAUGUUCUUGUUCUCAUGCCAAAUGCCACACUUGUUUUCUAAGUGUUCUAUACUCAUCAAUGUCAUUCUCUUGAUCUGUGUCUAUGUGUCACUUUUGUUCACUAACCCUUCUAGGUUCUUGUUACUUGUCAUGCAUAAAUAGGGUUUACAAUUCUCACAUUCUUACAAGUAUUUCAUACGAAAUUAAGUUCACAAUCAUGCCAUAAAAGCUCACAAUUAACCCUACUAUGCAACAUGCUCAAUAUGUACAUAUAUAUUCAAACAUGACACUUUAGACAUAAAGAAAUUUUCGAGGUUCUUGGAAUGCACCACCGACCUCGAGUGGUUGUGUGGGUAUAGAAUAUGACGACUCCCGAACUUUACGAAAGCCGAUACCGUGACCUACAACCAAAAUAGUGCAACUUUAGGCCUUCUGUACAUGAACCAUACUUAAACAUUUUCGUAACGUCGAACAGAGUUGUCCAACGCGUUGAGGACACCCCCAAUUAGGUUUCUACGAGGUUAAUUCGCCCCCGAAAAACCCUAGGGCAAAAGCCCCAAAUUUGGUGCCCUAACCAAACCUAUUGCUAAACCCUAGGUUUUAAUCCCUGAAACAAGCAAAAGAGAGCUUGUCUAAUCUCUAGAAGCUCAUUUAGAACCAUCCGAACCAUCUCUAGGGCUUAAAAAGCAAACUCUAGAAAUCCCCAUUAGAGCACCAUGAAGAAAACUAGAGUUUCAUGAUGUUCAAAGCUCUACAACUCUUCUAAAGCCUCUAAAGAGACCAAAACUCCAAAAUCUAAGGUUAAACUCCAAACCCUAGAGCUCGACAUGCUAAAAACUUACCUUGGCCCAAAUUCUAGCAAGCUCCUUCUUGUUGGAGAGAUUCUAGACCCACCAAGUCCACCAAAAAUCCAUCCUCAAGCUUCUUCUUCUUCUCCUUCAAGCCCUAGGUUAUUUCUAGAAAGAGAGAGGAGACGAAAUGAGAGGGAGAGGUGUGUGUGUGUGUGAAUGGCUGUAGAGGGAUAGGGGGUUGGGUAUAUAAGGUGUUGUAACAUUUACAACAAGACCCCUCCACUUUAUUCCCUGUGCACUGCCCAAACUAGGCAUUUUUCGCAGUGAGUGACCAGUCUCCCCGACCUAGGACCGAUCCCCGAGAGCUUCUCCCGCGGACUGCGCAGGCUGCGCGCGAUGCAACCGGUCUCCCUCGAUGUAACCGGUCUCUAGGGACCGGUCUCUCCUCGCAAGGACCGGUUCCCGAGAGCUGAUUUUCCAGGACUUAGCCGAUUUCUCGGCCAUCUUGCUGCCUACGCGUUCGGGGACCGGUCUCUCCCACCAGGAACCGGUCCCCAAGAGCACAAAACCUGCAGUUUGCAGAUUUUGAUUUCCAAAGCUCUCGAAGGUCCCCUCAAAUGCAUUUUUGCAUUAUUUGACGCCUUCGGCCUCUCCGAAGCGUACCAACCUCGCACUUUGGCCAAUUUGACCAAGGUUCGAAUCUAAUUACCGAGGUUUCAGUAUGUUACAGCAUCAAUAUGGAACUGUAAAACUAGCAUAAAGAGCUAGUUAGAAAUAAAAUUGUGGCAUCGUCAGUUAUUGAAUCCUCUAAGGGAGGAUUGGAUCAUACUCACCUAUUCAGUUUUGGCUUGGCGGUGGUCGCUCCCCCAAGCAGUGCACUCCGGAGUGUGUCAUUAACUGGGUUGAUCGUAUAAGCCUUCCCAGUAGACGAUCCUGUUGGGAGGCAGCUUAGGUCCCGAUACUUAGGGAUUGCAUUGGUGAGUUGUAGUUAACCAAUGGUUAACUCAGAUGAUUGGGUAAUGUUCAUUAAUAGCAUGCAUGCAUAUUUAUCAGUUGUUAUAUAUUGUUCAUUUCAGUUUUGUACAGGCAUUGUAGUAGUUACAUGUUUUAGUUGGUUACUAUCUGUACCUUUUCUUGCCUACAUAUGCCUGAGUAGACCUAGUGGGUGAGUCGGCGAGGUCGGCGGCCGAACCCACUAAAAAUUUUUAGUAGUUCUCACACCACUAACUAUAUAGGUUCUAGCGCGAGCGGUGUGGCCGAGGAUCGCGGCAAGAGCCCAGCAUCUUAGCUAGCAGACACCCGAGUUUAGUAGGAUACCAUUUUGGGUUUCAUGUUGUACAUAAUGAUAAAUAGAGAGACAAGUAAAUGUAUGUGUAAAUGAGCUGGCAAACGAUGUAAAUAACUAAAUAUUUCAGUUUUUAUGGUUUAGUUUAAAGUUUUGAAAAUACAGUGAAUGCAUAUUUAGUUAGUUUACUAUCACUUGUUCCUGUUGCUUGCCCUCGUGCAAGCAAUGUAUAUUGAAAUGUAUCCUAGGAACUGUUUAUUUCUUUAUACAUGUACUCGUUGUUGUUGAGUCUUGGGCGGACAGGAGAGAAGUGCUGUCCGUUCGGCGUCUGUUUACGGGUCCGGAUUGACCAAAUUGGCAAUAGCGGGACGUGAUAGAUAAAGUGGUAUCAGAGCAAGUGACAAGUAAAAGUCUAGGAUGACCUGGGGGACUUAGGAAUGGAAACCUAGGGACUAGGAACGCGAGUGGCAUGAAUUUAAUGAUAGCGAAAGCUAAAUAAAUUGGGUUAGUUGUUAGUAAGUUUCUAAUGUUAAUUAGGGGCUGAUCCAAGUGAUAUUUAUACGCAAUGAAAGGAGUUAUGUUGGUGGCCAACAACAUAAAGCCGAGGGUUGAGUAUAAAUACGCUUGAUUGCUUUCGCCUGAUUGGUUUUGUUUUAUUAACGUGAAUGUUGUGUUUUAGGAAAAAUGCCACCGCGGCGUGCAACGAGAUCCACUCCGGCAUCACCUUCUGGAGUGCCAGAGCAGUCCGGAUCUAGCGAGGUUCAGGAUUUGCGUGCUCAGGUGAGCGCGUUAGUCGAGGCUAUGCAGAGACAGGAGGAGCAUAUGAAGAGGCUGCAGGAUUUAGUGUCGCGACAGGCGACAACAGCUGCACCUGGGAGUCAGGAUGUACCUACAACUGAGGCGCCAGCGAUAGUGCCCCCUGCUCCGCCGACUGUUCCUCCUGUGGUUUCUGAGCCUUCUGUGUUAGAUGCGGCCGCAGUAGAGGCCGAACAUGAGCGAUCACUAGCAGUACUGACGACGUUUAUGCGGUUUAAUCCGCCUACGUUUGAUGGGAAAGAGGCAGAUCCAUGGGUAGUGGAGACGUGGCUUACAUCGAUGGAAGCAUUAUUUGAGGAUAUUUAUACCCUGGAAAAAGACAAUGUUCAUUUGGCAGCACACUAUUUCGAGAAGGAUGCAUAGAUUUGGUGGCAAAAGGCUAAGAAGAAUCGGGCUCCAAACCUGCCUCCAAUUACCUGGGAUGAGUUUCGGGAGCUAUUGUUUUUGGAGUACUUCCUUGAUAGUGAUAGAAGAAAAAUGAAAGAAGAUUUCCGCAAGCUAAGACAGGGAAACCGUUCGGUGCGGGAGUAUGAACGGGAGUUUACACAUUUGGUAAAUUAUGUACCAGGCAUGAUUCACAGUGAUCGAGAUCGAGCAGAGUGCUUCGAGCGGGGGUUGCGACCUGAAAUAUUCAAGGUAAUCAAUGCUUUGAAGUUAAAGACUUUUGAGGAAGUCCUGGAUCGAGCUCUUUGGGUAGAGCGCAGAAAUGCGAUUGCGCGUGAUGAACGCAAAUCGUUUGGCAGAGAAAGAAAAAGGGAGAAAGGAAAGAAGAGGACCACUAGUGGUGCUGGGGGACGGUCAAGCUCUAAACGGCCCUCUCGGUAUCCACGAGGUCAGUCGAGAUAUCAGGGACCCUCGAGAUGUGUGAUUUGUGGCGGAAAUCAUCGACCCUCAACUUGUCCACAGCGUGAGGAAAAGUGUUUUAAGUAUGGUCAGCCGGGACAUAUGAUCCGCGAGUGCCCCAGAGGAGCAUCAUCUGCCCAGUCUAUUGCUUCAGUUCAGGCACCCUCGAGGCAGCGUGCGGGUCUCCCACCCGCCAUGUCAGCUAGACGUUCUUUUGUGCCGCGUCAAUCCGAGACACCUCGACCUGCACCGAGUGGUCGUGUAUUUGCAGCCCAGGCAAAGGAGCCGGUAGUGGUCGAUGACGUCGUGGCAGGUAUUGUUUUAAUUUAUGGCAUUUGAUCUCGUGCAUUAUUUGAUACAGGUGCAUCACAUUCAUUCAUCAGUAGCUCAUUUGCUAAGACGCAUGAUAUUGAGAUUUCGGAUAGUGCUAAUGCCUGGUGGGUUUAUGCCCCUGAGCACACAUUUAGUGUCCAUGAGGAGUGUAUGGCAUGUCCAGUACAGGUGGGUGAUUAGAUUAUGCCAGCAGAUCUGUUAGUGCUAAACCGUAUGAAAGGCUUUGAUGUGAUCCUCGGGAUGGAUUGGCUUUCAAAGUACUAUGCCACGAUUGAUUGUGAAAGUAAAGUAAUUACUUUUCGUGAACCCGGGCUAAAAGAAGUUGUGUAUCGGGCAUGCAAGAGUUCGCUCUUUGCGUUGACAGUAUCGACGUUGAAAGCGAGGAAGUUGAUUAGUAGUGGAUGUGCGGCUUAUUUGGCAACAGUUGUGGAAACUCAAAAGGAACUUCCAGCACUUGGAGAUAUUCUAGUAGUUCGAGAGUUUCCCGACGUAUUUCCUGCAGAGUUACCGGAAUUGCCACCGGACCGGGAGAUUGAGUUCGUUAUUGACUUAGUUCCCGGGACGGCACCAAUUUCGAAGGCUCCGUACAGAAUGGCACCAGCUGAGUUGAGGGAGCUAAAAGCUCAGUUGCAGGAUUUGUUGGAUAAGGGCUUUGCGAAGCCUAGUGUAUCACCGUGGGGAGCUCCAGUGUUGUUUGUAAAGAAGAAAGACGGAACGCUUCAGCUUUGCGUUGACUAUCGCGAACUGAACAAGGUCACAAUUAAGAACAAAUAUCCGUUGCCACGAAUUGAUGACUUAUUUGAUCAGUUGCAAGGAUCACGGGUGUAUUCGAAGAUUGAUCUCCAAUCAGGUUACCACCAAGUGAAGAUCAAGCCAGAGGAUGUGCAUAAGACAGCGUUUCGCACUCGUUAUGGUCAUUACGAGUUCACAGUGAUGCCGUUUGGGCUUACCAAUGCCCCUGCAGCAUUCAUGGAUCUAAUGAAUAGGAUCUUCAAGCCACUGUUGGAUCAGUGUGUCGUGAUAUUUAUAGACGACAUCUUGAUCUUUUCUCGAAGCAAUGAGGAGCACGAUGAACACUUAAGAAUGGUGAUGCAAAUUCUGCGGGAGAAACAAUUGUAUGCCAAAUUAAAGAAAUGUGAUUUCUUGCUGCGAGAGGGAGCGUUUUUGGGGCACGUGAUUUCUGAGGGUGGUGUAGCUGUUGACCCGAAGAAAGUGGAGGCAAUUAAAGAUUGGCCUCGCUUGAUGACUGUUGCGGAGAUCCGUAGUUUCCUCGGACUUGGGGGGUAUUAUCGGCGGUUCAUGGAGGGAUUCGCGAAGAUUACUACUCCACUAACGCGCCUUACACACAAAGAAACUAAAUAUGUUUGGAGCGAAGAAUGUGAUCGUAGCUUUCGGGAGUUGAAAGAAAGGUUGACUUCGACUCCUAUUCUCGCCUUGCCGAUUACGGGGGAGAGUUUUGUGGUUUAUAGUGACGCUUCCUACAGUGGACUUGGGUGUGUACUUAUGCAGGGUGGUCGAGUUAUCGCUUAUGCGUCUCGCCAGUUGAAGAAUUAUGAAAAGAAUUAUCCUAUCCAUGAUUUGGAAUUGGCGGCGGUGAUUUUCACAUUGAAGUUGUGGAGACACUAUCUUUAUGGCGAGCACUGCGAGAUAUAUACAGAUCAUAAGAGCCUGAAGUAUUUAUUCACCCAAAAAGAGUUGAAUAUGCGACAAUGCCGGUGGUUAGAAUUGUUAAAGGAUUAUGAUGUUACAAUUCUAUACCACCCAGGGAAAGCUAAUGUCGUAGCGGAUGCAUUGAGUAGGAAGUAAGUUGAGAACUUGGCUAUGGCGAUCACACUUCAACCGUCGUUGUAGAAUGAAAUGCGGCGGUUUGAUCUUGAGAUAGUAGCUCCAGAGGUGCCAGCUAUUCUUGCCGCUCUAGUUGUUCAACCGACCUUGUUGGAACAGAUUAAAGAUCGACAAUCUUUAGAUCCGUAUUUCCAAAAGGUGCGGUGUGAGAUUGAGAGCGGGCGUGGUGAGGAUUUUGCAGUAGGGUCAGACGGAGCACUUCGGUUUCGAAACUGUUUGUGCGUGCCCAAAGACGAGGAAGUUCAGAGGGCUAUACUACAGGAGGCUCAUUAGUCACCUUAUAGUGUGCAUCCAGGUGGUACUAAGAUGUACAAGGAUCUCAAAGUACAUUAUUGGUGGCCUGGGAUGAAGAAAGAUAUUGGACAGUUUGUGGCGCAGUGUUUGACCUGUCAGUAAGUAAAAACUGAGCGUCGAUUUCCUGCGGGAAAGUUACAGAGCUUACCUAUUCCUGUCUGGAAGUGGGAGAAUAUUGCGUUGGAUUUUAUAGUUGGAUUACCUCAAUCGCAUGCGGGACAUGACAUUAUUUGGGUAAUUGUUGAUCGAUUGACGAAAUCGUCGCAUUUUUUGUCGAUUCAUACUACUUGGUUGGGGGACAAGUUAGCACAGGUGUACCUCAACGAGAUUGUGAGAUUACACGGAGUCCCGACGUCGAUUGUAUCUGAUCGAGACCCGCGAUUUACAUCUCACUUUUGGAGGAGUUUGCAGGAUGCUCUUGGCACACGUCUCGAUUUUAGCACGGAGUUUCAUCCUCAGACUGAUGGACAGUCUGAGAGGAGGAUUCAGAUUUUGGAGGAUAUGCUACGAGCGUGUGUACUUGACUUCAGGGGUGGUUGGCAUGAUUUCUUAGCGAUGGCCGAGUUCACCUAUAAUAACAGUUAUCAGGAAAGUAUCGCUAUGGCAUCGUUUGAAGCCCUCUACGGGAGGAAAUGUCGAUCCCCUAUUCAUUGGAGUGUGGUAGGAGAAAGGAUUGUGCUUGGUCCUGAUGUGCUCCAAGAAGCGGAAGGAAAGGUACGCUUAGUCCGCCAAAGAUUGUUGACGGCACAGUCACGGCAGCAAAGUUAUGCCAAUAAGCGCCGAAAGAACUUGGAGUUUGCGGUUGGCGAUCGGGUAUUCUUGAAGGUGUUGCCAAUGCGCGGGAUAAAGAGAUUUGGGGUUCGAGGAAAGCUUAGUCCUCGAUACAUUGGACCCUACGAGAUUUUGGAGCGAGUUGGAGCGGUAGCUUAUAAAUUGGCCUUACCGCCGAAAUUCGAGGGAAUACAUAAUGUAUUUCACAUUUCGAAUCUUCGCAAGUAUGUGCAUCAUCCUGGACAUGUCCUGGAGUACGAGCCAGUGGAUUUGCAAGAGAAUAUGACCUAUGAAGAAUAUCCAGUAUGCAUUCUAGAUCGAGAGGUGCGAGAAUUGCGAAAUCGCGCAAUUCCCUAUGUGAAAGUGCAACGGAGCAAUCAUUUGAGACGAGAGGCUACUUGGGAGUUGGAAGAAGCUAUGCGCGAAUCCUAUCCCCAUCCAUUAGAUCUGGAGAGCUAAGGUAUGAAUUAAGUUUCGAGGACAAAACUAUUUAAGGAGGGGAGAUUGUAAUAUGUCGAAACCCGACUAUAUUGCUAAUCUUGAUCAAAAUGACGCGUCCAAAUUAAAUUGGUAGUUUGGGCAUAGAGUUUAGCAUGUUUUGGAAGUGUUUGGAUGAAAUUGGAGUGAGCUGGAUGUGAGAAACGGGCUGCCAAAGCUGUUGCUGCCAACAGGGACUGAAUUGCGAAACUGCAGGGACUGAAAUGUAAACUGCAGGAUUGUAAUGCACUUUUGCUGAAUUGAAGGGUUAAAGAGCAAUUAUUUGUCCUUAUCACUUAAACCCAGGUGGCAUACAACUGCCUACGUAACAGGGCUUUCUUUUCUCUUCCUUUUCUUCAUCUUUUUCCUUCCCUCUCUCUCUCUAAGCUGAUGGAAACCGAGAGCUAAGGAAGGCAACAAAUUGGUGCGUUGGAGGUUGAUUGGAACUGCAGGGAAAGUUUUUGAAGCUGAAGGUAACCUGGGGGAGACAUCUAAUUAAGGUAGGUUGGCUGAUACCUGAGUUUAAUUGAGUAAGUUACCUUAGGGGUGUCCUAAAUUCGGAAGUUUAAUUAAGUUUGCUGCCCUGGAUUUCGGGCUAAUUUAAGCCACCAGGUUGAAGUUUUCAACUGAGAAAAAGUGGUCUAGCUGUUGGGGCUGAAGGAAAAACUGGUGGAAUCCUCAAUUAAGGUAAGUCGAUUCCAUACUUGAUUAAAAUUGAGCUAAUUAUCGUAGAGAAGAGUUAUAUAAAGAUUUUAUUGCUGCCAGGAUUUGUAAUUUAGUGAAUUGAUGGGCAAACUUGAAUUUCGAGCAUGUAGAAGCUGCGAGUAAUCAGGUAGGUCAUUGAAUUGAAGUGAAGCGAACUCAAUAUCUGAGUUUGGUCGACCUAAAUUCCUUAAAGCUAAUCUACAUGAAUAUUCAUGCUGCUAGAGCUGAAGUUCGGACUUGUUGGAGUUGACGAAUUAAGAAAUUCAAAUCAGGAAGUCGAGACUUGAGGUAAGUAACUUCAAUUCCAACUGAGAGUUAAUUAAUACCUGCAUAACGAUUGGACCUAAAGCAUUAGAAUUGGUAUUAAUAGGUAGAGAAGUCCUAAGCGGUGGCUGCUGCCUAGGUGGUGCAGGACUUGGGCACCCCAAGUUGAAAAAGCCUUAGUGGAGCUUCUUUAGUAAUUCAAGCUGCAACAAAUCUGGUGGAGCCUGGAAUUUAGGUGAGAUGGAUACUUAUUUCCUGAGUUAAGUGGUCUGGAAUUACUUUAAAAGAGUGUGAACAAAACAAGUAUUUGUUUUAUACUUGUAAUAAGCUGUGAACGAGAAGGUGAGGUGCUGAAAUUUCAGCACUAUGCAGAAUUCAGCAUGGUGCAGAAUUCAUUGUGAGCUAAAAACAGGCCAAUUGAACAAUGAAUUGAGAUAAUUCUAAUUAAAUCUUGAUUAAGGUUCAGUUAAUGGUUAUAGAAGAUGCUAAUUAGAAGCUCUAUGGGUAAUUGAACUAAGGAAAACUCAAAUCGACAUUGGUGGAUUUCUAACUUGGACUCUAUAGAUCAGCUAACACUAUGCAUAAUAUAUACAUAUAAAUAUAUAUGUGCAUAGUGUUAAAAGAGAAGAUGGAUUUGAGAUAGUUCAAAUAUAGAAUCAGAGUAAGAAGAACUGUUGUGGAAAGAUGAAAUUAGAAGGUUAUUAAAGCUUCUAGUUACUAUCAAGCUUAUAGAAUGGACUAUAUGUAAAUGUAUAUUACCAUUAUACAUACACAUUGGGGUAAAAUGCAAGUUUUCUUAAAAUGUAAAUAUGACUCUAGUUUAAUCCCUUUUAUUCUUAUAUGAAUGAAGGUUAAACGUGCUCAGAAGUUCGAAUUGACAUUUCGACGAUCCUACGACGCGCUAUUUAAGAAACGCUUCGUUCUAGCUCUAAUUGCACCGCGUCGCGAGAGCUCGUUGUCGACGCGUUUCGAGACGUUGAGCUGUGUUGAUUGGCAUCCCUACAGAUGGGUGGUGCUAUCCGAAGUCAUCGAAUCCCUCUUUAUGUCUAUGUUGCCUUCUUGAGCAUAUCUGUAUAUGAGUAAAAUAAUAUUCAUGCAUUAUAGGGUAAAUGGCAUUAUCUGUUUAUGAAAUGAAUGAUUGAGCAAAUCUCAGUAUUAAGAACAUGUGAACCAUAGCGUGUGGACCUAGAACUCUAUGAAUGUGUGAAUUUUACUGUGGACUAUAACAAUAGUAAAUUUGGUGACAUUAUGACUAGAAGUAUUGGUUAGCAUCAAUAUUGGAAAUGUAAAACUAGCAUAAAGAGCUAGUUAAAAAUAAAAUUGUGGCAUCGUCAGCUAUUGAAUCCUCUAAGGGAGGAUUGGAUCAUACUCACCUAUUCUGUUUUGGCUUGGCGGUUAUCGCUCCCCCCAAGCAGUGCACUCCGGACUGUGUCAUUAACUGGGUUGAUCGUAUAAGCCUUCCCAGUAGACGAUCCUGUCGGGAAGCAGCUUAGGUCCCAAUACUUAGGGAUUGCGUUGGUGAGUUGUAGUUAACCAAUGGUUAACUCAGAUGAAUGGGUAAUGUUCAUUAAUAGCAUGCAUGCAUAUUUAUCAGUUGUUAUAUAUUGUUCAUUUCAGUUUUGUACAGGCAUUGUAGUAGUUACAUGUUUUAGUUGGUUACUAUCUGUACCUUUUCUUGCCUACAUAUGCCUGAAUAGACCUAGUGGGUGAGUCGGCGAGGUCAGCGGCCAAACCCACUGAGAACUUUUAGUAGUUCUCACACCACUAACCAUACAGGUUCCAGCGCGAGCGGUGUGGCCGAGGAUCGCGGCAAGAGCCCAGCAUCUUAGCUAGCAGACACCCGAGUUUAGUUGGAUACCAUUUUGGGUUUCAUGUUGUACAUAAUGAUAAACAGAGAGACAUGUAAAUGUAUUUGUAAAUGAGCUGGUAAACGAUGUAAAUAACUAAAUGUUUCAGUUUUUAUGGUUUAGUUUAAAAUUUUGAAAAUACAGUGAAUGCAUAUUUAGUUAGUUUACUAUAACUUGUUCCUGUUGCUUGCCCUCGUGUAAGCCAUGUAUAUUAAAAUGUUAUCCUCGGAACUGUUUAUUUCUUUAUACAUGUACUUGUUGUUGUUAAGCCUUGGGCGGACAGGAGAAGUGCUGUCUGUUCGGCGUCUGUGUACGGGCCCGGAUUGACAAAAUUGGGAAUAGCGGGACGUGACAUGAGGCAUGCAUGCAAAGAGUGCACGGGAUGCCGGGGUUAAGUAAGGAACAAAUCUUGGCAGCCGCUGAUGCGUUGAAGGAAGAUAAGAAUCGCCAACUUUUUAUGACUAUGAAUGACGACUUAGCAUUAAUGUGGGUCGAGUGUCAACUUACACAUCAAAAUUUGUUGUAUAAGCAGAUCUUUCCAGGGCUCUAAACCAACGGCGUAAUGGUAGUCGUUGUUUGUCAGUUCCUGAGCUAUAUUGCUUGGGUUACUGGUUUAUUUUGUAUGUUGCUUGCGUUUCUAUUUUCACUCGUUUUAGCUUUGCAUAUAUGCUUGAUGUUUGGAACAAUGUUGUAAUGCAGGGUGGAUGUUUGUUAUUUCGAUCUAUAUUUGUAUGUGUGAUAUGUAAUAGACCAAUGAUGUAAGGAAGUGAAUUCUCGAAACUCGAGGAUUAGACUUCGUUUAGAAUCGACUAGUUGUCGAGUGUGUAGGCUUCGGAAAGUCCGAAGGUGAUUAAAAUACAUGAAGUGCAUUAAGGAAGGGUCCACAAGAGCAGCAGUGCAAAAUCUGCACUGGAGCAGAAUUGCUCUCGGGGACCGGUCCCUGGCAGGGAAGGACCGGUCCCAUCAGGCUGGGCUUGCGGGGAUCCAUGAUGCAACCGGUCCCUGGCAGGGGAGGACCAGUCCCCGAACGUUAACCCAGCGAGAAAGGCCGAAAUUUGGCUAAGUUCCGAAAAAUCCAACUCUCGGAAAUCGGUCUCUCGGACAAGGACCGGUCUCCCGGGGACCGGUCUCUCAGGCAAGGACCAGUUCCCGAACGCGAAACUCCCUCUGCCCGAGAUGGAAGGCUCUCGGGGACCGCUCUCCCCGACCUAGGACCGGUCCCGCACUGCGAAAAUGCCCAGUGAGGGCUGCUGCAGAUGAUGGAAAGUUGAGGGGGCUAUCUGCAAAGUGGCCUAUAUGAGAGGUGGGGGACCCCUCUCUCCCUCUCAUUUGCUCUCUCCCUCUUACACUCUUUCCCUCUCUCUCUCUAGAACGAAAGGAAAAAGAAGAAGAGAAGGAGAAGAAAAGAAGGAAGAAAAAGAAGAAGAAAAGGAAGGAGAAGACUAAGAAGAAGAAGAUCGUCUUCUUCUCUCUCUCCCUCAAGCUUGGAGCUUUGUAUAGAGGUAAGCUCUAAACCCUCUAAUGGUAUUUCUAGGGUUUGGGGUUUUUGUUGUUUAGAGAUGGUUCGAAUGGAACCUAGAGGAGAUAAAUAAAUAGUUAUAGCAGCGGAUUCGAAGCUCGAACCAUAGAUUUCUCCCUCGUUGCCAUUCUAGGGCACGUUUUGGGAUUUUUGGAAAUGUGGGGUCUUGAUCUAUUUCGAUGGGUUGUAAACCUAAUUGCUAGGUCUCGGAACGCGUCGGCGAAGACGGUUCGUCGAUACGACGAGCGGGUGCGAAGAUAUCGCCGAAUCAAGCGCUUAAGUGUUCGAAUCGACCCGAGGAGUCGAAGCGCCGACCAAGGACUGCGAAGUCAAGUUUUCUACCAUCGCGGCACUACUAAGAGGUGGGUGGUGACCAUCCCGAAGCAAUCGGGCUCCCUCUUAUGUCUUAGUAUUUUAAGACCUUGCAUCUUGUAUUCACAUGCAUUAUAGGAUAGUGGUGCAUUGCCUUUCCUUAUGUUUUCCUAGCUGAUAUCAGAUUAUGCAUUAAUUAUUGGGUAUAGGGGAUUGAUGAGGAUUGGGUUGAGACUUGUAAUCCUAUAGUGCAGAAAUGAAAGAAUGACGUAAUGGUUGAAACAAAAGAACGAGUAGCAUCUAGUUGUUAGUAAACAAAAGAACGAGUGGCGUCUAGUUGUUAGUAAACAAAGAACGAGUGGUAUGUGUGAGUUGUAGCGUAUAUGAAACCCAUUGAUUAUGGUGAUAGUAACCCUAGAGGAUAAGGUACCUGUAAGGUACCGGACUUCUAAAAUUAUGAAGUUACGGUGUACAUUUGGUUUGAAAGCCAUUUGAAUGAUUCCGGUGGGUUGCAGUGGAAUGUAAUAUACCGGAUUUUAAAUAUAAAAAUAAAAAUAAAUAAAAAUAGUGUGAGAUACUAUUUUUAUUGGAUUUAGAAGAGUAAAAUAUAAGUCAGAAGUGACUUGUGCUGAAAUCGGAAUGAAAACAGAAGAUCUAGAAUUUUCUGUUGGAAACGGGACAGAUAAAUAGGCAGAAAAUGCACAGUCUCAGAAAAUUAUGAAAAUUGGAGGAUAAGCCAGAAAUAUUUUUAUGAGGCUAGAUUUAAGGUUUCAUAUUUUUCUGACACCCGUAGAGUGAGAAAUAAAAUCCGAAAGCUAUCUGAUAAAGAUUGCAGUUCGGUACAGUUUUCAGUGACCAAACGGGGUCGAAACUGAACCAGUGAUCGUCAGCUUGUUAAGUUAAGUAAAACCGAACAUGACUGUCAAGUUUGAGCUCAAACGGAGAUUCAGGGAGCUCCGGCGAAAGUUAUCAGAUUUUAAGCUGCCUGGAGGUGAAUAGUGUUGGGGUGUAAUUAAAUAGAAGCAUGAUGCUUCUUCUUCCUCCUUCAGCCGUGCACACCCACACACACCUCACGCACACAUGGAGAGAGGAGAGAAACUCUCCUUUCUCUCUCUAGAGAUCUCUCUCAUUUCUCUAUAUCUCUCGCUCAAAUUCGCGGGGUUGGUGGAGAAUAUGCUUGCGAACGCGUUGGAGGCGACGGAUUGAGCUUUCGUGCGCCCGUUGGAGCGGUGUGUUGUCGUCGCGGCGUUCACAUUGAGGUAAGCUUUUAGGAUUUGGCUUAAUCCUUAGCUUUAAGUAUUCUAAUAGCCUCUAAUGAGCUUUGUUAGCAUGUUGAUCCAUUUAAUUUUGGAUUAUUUUGAGGUUAAUUGCAUAUUAGGGCUCCGAAUGGGGUUUUGUAAAAUAUGAGGGUUUGAUCUAAUUUGACCCUUCGUAAACCUAAUUGCUAGGUAACGAAACGCGUUGGCGAAGACGGUUCGGCAAUCCGACGAGCCGUUACAAAGUUAUUAAAGAAAUGGACGUUUAGGCUUCGGGUCCGCCGGGAGGGCCGAGGCGACAUCGUAAAUUCAUGAAAAUGGAUUUGAAGCAUCGUGGCACAUAACCGAAGACCUUUAAUUUUCGGAUCGUGAAUUGGAGGCCGUUCGGGUGGUCGCGUGAGAGAUCGGGCCAAACCGGGUGCCGGGUGCCGCGGGAGGCCGAUUGCAAGUGUCGACAAGCAAUCGGAAUGCGAAAUGAGGUGGGUUGUGCUUACCGAAGCGACUAGGUCGCCCUUUAUGUUUAAGAAACAUACGAAUUCACAUUGAUGCAUAUAGUUGUAUUGGUAGGCUUACAUGAUAAUAUGAAUGCUUGAAACAUAUUAUGUAGUUGAUAUUACCUACCAAUGAGAUGAAAUGUAUAAUGAAUUAAAUGCUAAAAGAAUGCAUGAGAUGCUAAGUAUAGACUACUUUGGAUGAUGAUUAUAUGUAUGUUGACAUAUCAUGUGAUGCUAGUAAUAUAUGUGCAUGAUGACAUGUUGUGAAUUAACAUAUUGUGGAUUAUGUUAAAUAGAAACAUAUACAUGAUGACAUAUAUUGCAUAUGAUAGAAGAAUUAUACAUGUUGCCAUAUUGUGGAACAUAGUGGAUGAAUUAUGCAUGUUGAACUUGGUCGAUUAGAGAAAUUGACAUUGGAAAACAAGAACACAUCGAGUGGCAUUAAUGUAGUGUAUUUGACACUAGAGGUUUGAGAACCUAGGGAUAGGUGAAUCCCUUAGAAAAUGCCUUGUGGAUAAAGAACUUAGUAAACCUAAGUACCCUCACAUGGAGAGGUUGUCGAUGAGUUAUUGAGACAUUGACUCUAGUUGUAGAGCAUCCUCACUUGGAGAGGAUUUGAUUGGGUCGUUGACUCUAGUUGUAGAGCAUCCUCACUUGGAGAGGAUUUGAUUGGGUUGUGGACCCUAGUUGUAGAGUAUCCUCACUUGGAGAGGAUAGAUCUAGCUCACAGUCUGCGUUUGGGAUGGUAUAGCCAUCCAAUCCCCACAUGGAGGGGAUUGUCGUCGAGUACUCCGGAGUGUCGUGCGACUAGGACCACUUGGAGGUCCGGACCACAUGGAGGUCCGCAGACGGUCCCGGGCUUGGGUGCACUUGGAGCUCCCUCCCCACUUUGGGAUUGAAAGGUGAGUUAUUGGCGAACCCUAGGGCUUCGCUACAGAUUGGGUAAAAGAACAGUGAACAAUGCCAUUGAACAUUAUUAUUCGAACAUGGAUCGAAUUCGUUAGCAUGAUAGUAAACCUUUACUAUUUGAUGCAUGGUAUGAGUUUUAGUUGCAUCCCAGUUGAGUGGAUUUAGGGCUGAGGUGCAUGUGAGACAUCCUUCACCUUGAGCCUGGCUUUGUGCGGUAUUCCGCGUAUGAUUGACUCAAGACCGGGUCGAGUGGAUAGCUUAUGAAAGCAGGUUAAACCUUAUGAGCAGAAUUGUAAUUGACAAGAAUCUAAGAUAGAGGAAAACUUAGAAGUCAAUUGGUUGAACUGUGAAUAACAGGAAUAAAAGUAGUAUCGAUUGAACUACUAGUUGGUUGCAUGGUUGCAUAAACUGCAUGAAUUUCAUAUUGCAUUUUGUGAGGCACAACAUGUAUUUCAAUACUUGAAUAUAUAUAUCUGUUGGAUAUCUGUUGGACUAACAUGUUGCAGGGCCUCCUUAGACCUAUUGGUCGAGCUUUUCCCUUGGGUGGCCGUACCCACUGGGAACCAUGGAGUUGGUUCUCACCCCACGUUGUUUUGGGGUGUUACAGGUUCGCACGUGAGCGGCGCGACGGCGCGAGGCGAGGGCGUAGCUCCAUAGAUAGCGCCCUACCCCAGAGACCAGAGAUAGAGGUACCCCGAGUCGGCAUAGCCUAGGGGUAGAGGGAAAAGAAAAAGAGUAAACUUGUAUUAAUAUUGCGAUCAUUGAUUGUAUUUGGAAGAAAAUGUAAUGUAAUAAUGCUAAUGUGAUGUAAAAAUGAAUCUAAUGAAUGCUUGUAAUAACAUAGGAUGUGUUAUGUUGUUUGAUACCUUCCUUAUGCAAUCUUGCUUGAAUACUGUUCCUGGUUGGAACUUCUUGUACUUGUAUUGAUUGCGACGCCUAGGACAUACAGGGGAGACUCUGUCCGUUCGGCGGUCUGUCGGCGGCGCCGCGACCUCGGCCAAAUAGGCGGGUGGUUGCGGGUCGUGACAGUACCCUUGAGGUAAGAGAAUUGGAUCAUACUCACUGUCUGUUCCCGACUUGUGAUGGUCGCUCCACACAAGUAGUGCGCUCCGGAGUUGGUCACAUAGGAUUGCCUAUUUGGGGUCCCGUGGGAUAGGGAUGGCCUAUUUGGGGUCCUGAGGGAUGGCCUAUGUGGGAUUCCGCAGACGGUAUCAGAUUCGUAGUUUGAGUCUUGUCUCCCUACGCGUCGAGAUGGCUCUGUGAGUAGUAGGCGAAUCCUUGAGUGAGCUACGGGGUUAAUGAACAAGUAAAUAGCCUUACUUCUUGGACAUAUGACGAGCUAGUUGAUUACCUACUUCAUUGUGCAUGCAUUCUCCAUAUUCAUGAUUCGAGCACAGUAGCGUAGCUUUAUUAUUCUGUUUUCACAGCUUUCCAUAUCUAUCUAUCUGUUUAUCUACUUGUGCCCACUUGGACCUAGUGGGGAGACCGGCGGAGUCGGCGGCCGAACCCACUGGGAACUAUGGAAGAUAGUUCUUACCCCACUCUCUACAAGUUCGAGCUCGGGUGUCCCCGGCGAGCGCAAGGAUCGUGGCAAGGGCAUAGUGCCCUAGUGGUAUAUGCACAUAGCUAGCUUUACUUCCUUUUGCAUUAGCCGUCACCCUUUUGUAUUUGAGAGUAGAUGAUGUAUAGGUGUGAGGUUGUUUUGGAAGAUAUAAAAGCAUGUCGUAUAUAUAUGUUUCAACUUGAAGUAGUCGAUGUAUCAAAGAGGUUGGAUAAAUGUAAUAGAUAGAACCUUCUCUCUUUAUUUACUUGUAUGUCUCAUACUUGUAUCUUGCUCUUGUUGGUUAGCACUGGUGGUGCUCCUCGUGAUCGUGUAUUUAUGAAUUGAUUCCUGGGUAAAUUCUUAUACAUGAACAGUUGGCUUGGCCUUGGGCGGACAGGGGAGGUUCUGUCCGUUCGGCGUCUGUUCGACGUGCCCGGACCGAACCAAAUUGGUAGCGGUCUCGGGGCAUGACAAAUGAAGUAUUCCUGGUCAACAUGUAUUACUUUAGGAUAUAUUACUUUAGGUUAUGUUUUACCUUUAGUUAUCAUUACAUGUAUGACUGCUUUUAAGGACAUGGUCAAAAUAAUGAUCUAUUUUUGUGCCCUAUAGCUUAAGUAUUGCUAUAGCUAUAUGUUUGUGUGUACUAAAGUAUUUUUGGUCUAUUUAUCGAUGUGCUCUCAUGUAUUUGUCAUUGACGACAGUUGGGUUCUGAAAGACAGUGAUGGACAACUCAGUAUAUCAAAUAGUAUUUUCGUUAGCAAUCAUAGCCAAUGUUAUGGUAAUUUUAGAUGAAGAUGAUGAAUCUCGGGAGCAUUUAAUGCAAUUUGAGCAAGAAAAUCAGACAUGUGCAAAUACAGUCCCCAGACAAAGAUGUCGAACUCGGCCCCUUACCGGAUAUCAAAUUGUUAGUUGUAUGACCUAGAAGCCUAUCAGGCAGACGCAUUUUAUUUUCUAUAGGACAUAUAUUUGUACUUAAUCUUUAUUAUUUAUAUAAUUUGGUCUUUUAUUCCAUUCAUGUUAAAUGUGUCCAUGAAUCGUACUUUGAAUUAAUAAGAUGAUAAUAUGUAUUCUCAAGAGUUGAGAAUUUGAGAUACAUAUUAUUGGUGAUUAAUUCAUAAAUGCUCUCAAUCGGAGGAUCAUCAUGGGGGCGAUGAUUGAUCCGGUAAGAUUGAUGUGUGUGCCGCUUCCCUAUUAGGAUGACGAAUCUCGAGCCAUCAGUGUGGGGACACUAGAGCGAACAUGCAGGUGGUUGUUGGAGAACAAGGGUACUGAGCGUGACCAACUACGAAUAGUUACAUGGAUGUCUACUCAUUCGUCAGUAACUGGUUCGAUGUUGCAGUGGUACAACUGAUCCUUAGACCUGCGACACCACGACUAUUCAAUAUGAGACUACUGUAGUUUGACUAUGCAACAAACUCUGAUCCCAGCCAUGGGUCUUAGUAGUAUAUGUUGGCUGCUGUCGGUUCAUAUCAGGAAUGGGUGUGUGUUUAUAAGAGAUCUAUUGCUCUCGGUAGAGAGAUAAUUAGUUCUAUGCUAUUUGUAAGGCAAAGCUCAGAAAUCCUCGGUCGGGGUAAUAUGGUGUAUGGAAAGAGUUUUCCAAGAGUAACCAUAAGAGCUUUUGUCCUAUCAAGUUUGACAUAUGACGGGUGAUGGGGUUUGAUGAAUAUUCCAUGACCUCCACUCAAUUGGAACUAUGCGAUAGAAGGAUAGUAUUGUACGGUAACUGCACCUAGAGGUUCAGUCCGAUAUUCACUUCUGACUGGAUUGCCACUACAUGCUGCUAGGCGUCACUAGUGGAUUGUGGGAACCAGUAGAAAUAAUUAUAGAUAAUUAAUUAUUCUAUAAGGGUGGAAUCAAAAGAGUUUGAGCCAUCGAAAAUAGUUUCAAUAAUUAUGUAGAUGGAGAUCUCAUCAUAUCUCACUAUGUCACGCCCCGAGGUCCCUCUUUAGUUUAAAGCAUAGCGGAAAAGCGUUUGAAAUUUUUUUUUUUUUUAAACUUGACCCCAGGGUAUGCCAGAUCCGCCACAAAUACAGGAGAUCCACUGUUCACACGGACAGAGUCUCCCCUGUAUUUGCACGGCGUCGCACAAGUACAAGAGUUCAAACAUGAUACAACCACAACCAGAUGAACAUACAAAUAAUCACAGUUAUAUAUUCAUACACCAUUCACCACAGAUUCACAUUUUACCAUUCGAUAUUUAAACAUAAAUUCACAUCUAUCAGUCAAAAUAUUUCCAACCACAGAAACAGGUUUUGAAAUACUAAGAUACAAAAUCACUGAAAACCCUUUGAAAACUGUUCCCUACACGGAAACUUUUAUCUUUUUAAAACGCUACCACGAGGGGUAGAAAAUUAUUUUUAUUUUGCAAAAUCCAGAAAUCCACAUUUUCAAAUGUAAAUAAACACUGAACCACAUAAACCAACUAAACUAUUCAUCAACCAAACUAAGAAGGGUAAGAAAGUAAACCGAAUUAACCUGGGUCGAGAGCGCUAUCGACCGCUACACGCGUACCUCACGUCUCGUCCCACUACUCACCGCCCGCGAUACCUGAAAAAUGGUGGGGGAGGUGAGAACAUGUAAACAUGUCUUCCCUCCCAGUGGGUACCGCAAGCCGAAGAAGGCGAGGAGUACUCACCGGAUCAGGAAGAGAUAAUCAACAGUAUGGGUAAGUAAAAUACAGUAGCAAUGAUAAUAAACGAACAAGAUAUAUAUAUAUAUAUGAAAACACAACUACCGCUACUGUAAUGUACAACUGCAAGCAUACAAGGAUAUCAAAACUAUAGUAGCAAGACAACUCGUUAAGAAAGGAACUAGGGAAGUACAUAUGGCAACAACCGUACUAUUAGCUAUAAGCGUCAACAGGACGAGAAGUCCCAAAGGGUACCCAAUCUAAACCCGCCCGUGUCGGUCUAAGAACCUCAGCCAAAACUCACUAUCGCUUCCCACACCUGGCACUGUAACCCUAGCACAAAAGAACACGCUGGGCUUACCGGUCGGAUGGUACGACACUUUUCCGAAAAGAACCACCCCUCCUUGCGGGAUCAAUCCCGCUUGGGUACGUGAAAUGCACUCGAGCUGUGGCGAUCAAUGCGGAUAUGAUCAAUAGCCAACCGUCGGCAAUCAGCCGGACAAUCACUGCGCCCUCUGGGCAUAACCGACCGUGUAGGUGUCAUCAAGCAACAACGUGAAUCGACCGAGAUAGUCAAUGUACGGAAGUAAACGAACGACCCCAAACAGGUCCCGAUGCCAAUAAGGAGAAACCGACCCAACCAUGGUCACCAAGUAUAGUAUAUCAAAAUAGCACAUUAUUCUACCCUAUACAGGAUACUACACAUAGAACAAACUAGGCAGGGUAAAUAAAGUAGUAUGGUAGAUACUGCUCGAUGUUUCAACUAAAGUACGAACGCAAGAACCGACCGAUAUGUCAACAGGAGUUGUAUCGAUAUAGUCCAAUACCGUCGAGCACCAGCGACAAUCCUACCCUCAGGUACACCGACCUCAAAGGGUAUCGGAACGACAAGUCAAGAAAUAGACCAACCCAAUACAUAGUUGCAACCAACCGACCAAACAGGUCAACAGAUUAUAAGAUUAAAAGCACCGAUCAACGUGAGGUCAUCGAAACGAAGUACGGGAGAACCGGACCAACCAAGUCACCGCCAGCGAAAGUACGAAGAACCGACCAAUCAAGGUCCACCAGUAUUCACAUUAGGGAUAAAUACUCACUUCCUACCAACAUGAUACUAAGCAUAGGAAACAUAUGAGUAGAGUAUGGAUAGAAAACAACGUGGAUGAAGCGUCACAUAUAUAAUACGAAGUACCAAUAGAAGAACAGGGAUAGAAGAGAUAUCACCGAGCGUGCCCACCACUGUACCGGACUUCGGAUCGACAAUAACCCACAUGUACAAAAUUACAAAUGCGCACCUGUCUCCUGACUUGCAAACAUAAGGACGUCAACCGGACCUAAGGAAGUCCCACCGGGUUAGUGGUCUUAACCACAGCUAAUAAUAUCACUAAUCCACAACACGAAGCCAAACCCAUGGAGAAUCGUUCCCAAACCGAUCGCCGGUAAUAUCGCCGGAAGCCCGUAUCGCAUGGGACCUCCGCCGGGAAGCCCGAACUGUUCCCAGAACAUACCCGUCUUGAGUUUGAGGUCACCUGCUGCCACUAAACAUAAAUAAUCAUGCAUCAUGGCAGCGAACACAACUCCUCGUGUCGAAACAAUUAUCGUCGGAUAAUCGUUUCGAUUCGGGUUCCCGGAAGUGUCUAUUUCGACACCGGAACCUACCGUCGCUCACCCGUCAUUUCCGAACUCUCGAAAUGACGCAAGUGACCAGCCAACAAGGCUCAGCGACUACGCAAAAGUUCACGAAGCAUCGUCGGAAUAAUUCCGAACCGAACCCGCGUUCCGUCGGCGGAUUUCGCCGAAAAACGCACCGGAAAAGCAUUUCCGAUCUUCGCAAGGGUCUAGGGCCUUGGACAAUCAGUCCAGAGGUUACUCUCAGCGUUUACACGCUGUCCACAGCGACCGAGUCGAUGUUAUAUGCAAGAAAGCACAUCAUGAACCCUAAAAUCUAUCAUUUUAUGCGAUUUUCGACAGUUUUAAUGGCCCGAUCUUGCGAUACGAGGCUCGCUGGGUCAACCGUCGCACCCGCUGAUAUAUUUCAGCGUGCCGGAGACCGUGCUCACCAUUCAGAGCACAAUCGGCGACUGUGGUGCGCGCAUGAGUGACGCGAAGGUCUAAUAAACUGCGCGCACCGUGCGAAGAUCGCGACUAAUUCACUAACCAGGGCAUCUUUGCCGCUGUCGGAGGUGAGCACGAUGUUCAGCACGAACCCUAGAUCAUCGUGCUCACUUCCCAAAGUUCAGGAGGCUAAUCGGAUCACCGGAAAGGUGACCGGAAACUCGAAAAACAGUGCUGGAACGUAAAUGGACACUCACCGUGAGGGGAGGAACUAGGGUUGGCCGCCGGCGAUAUUCCGGCGGGCGGUCCGGCCGGGGAUGGGUGCAACAGAUGGCGGGGCUCCGGGGCACUCCACAUCAGGCGGCGCAGGGCGGCCGGAGGUGUGGCGGCGGCGUACGGAGCCGCCAACGCCCCUGCGGUUUGGUGCCUUCCAACAGUCGCCGGCGGCGAUGCGGCGGCCGGGGCUGGUCGGGGCCGGUCGGGGACGACGGCGGGGGUCGAGGCGGUGGCCGAGCUUGCGUCGGCGGGCGGCGGCGAUGCCCGGGAGUGAAGGCGGCCCGCGCUCGGCCCGUACAGCACAAAGGCGGCGGCAGGGGGCACCUGCGGCGGCCGGCGGUGCUCAAGGGUGGCCGGGGUCGGGUGCGGUGGUCGCCGGAUGAUCGGCGGAGACCUCCGCGGCCGUCGGGAAGCGGCGGCAGGGCUCACACACCCGAGCCACCCAGCUUCGGCCUGGGUGGUGUCCCUGGGGCCGCAGGCGGCUACGGCGGCUCCGGCGGCGCACGGCGACGGUGGGGGUCGGCGGUGACGGUGCCGGCGGGGGUGCCUGGGUCGGGGCUCACCUCACUCGAGGCCUGGCCGGCUCAGGGUGGUGCUGGGUACAUCCUCGGCCAAGGUGGAGGGAGAGGGAGGAAGGUUGGAGCUUGGGAAAUCAUUUCCGGCGACGGCGGCGGCUGCCGGCCGCCGGGGUGCAAGCACGGCGUGGACAGGGGGCCUCCUAGGCGGCUGGUGCACAGGGAGGGCUAGGGUUAGGGUUUCCACGAAGCCCUAGGUUCCAACACACAUAUAAAUAUGUGGCAAAAUACAAUUUAGCCCCUCAAAUAAGAAUAUUUCUAUCCCAGCCCUUCACAACGCGUGAAAUAUGCGCGAAUACACCUUCACAAACAAAUUCACGCGAAACGGCACAUAAAAUAUCGCACUUUUUGCGAAAUUACCCAUUUGCCAACACCGACCUCUCCUCGAUCAACGUGUGAUCUCCGCAGAUCCGUCCGUCAGAUUUGCGAACGGAUUGCACCAGUGCGAUCAGCACUUCGGAGACAACAAAGCUACGAUUUGUUUCACCACGAUCGGCCACGGAUUCACGACAAAAUCCAAACUUUCUUUCCAAUAGAAGGAAUAACACAUAAAUACAUAUAAAACACGUAUUUUCGGAUUUUCUCGAAAUUCGUGCAUCAAACUCAAAAUCCGUCAGCGCCAGUAGUUCCAGAAUAGCUGAACCGGUCGAAACGAGCUAUUGGAUCGCUAUGAACGGAGUCCGAUACGCGCCAGAAGCCUACUCUACUCCGUGGCUUCUCCGAAAAACCGGAGUUACUAUUCACUUAAGUGAAAACUAAAAGUCGCGUAUCUUCUCCAUUUUAGCUCAUUUUCGCCCAAAAUUUGACGAGUGCUUAUGUAAUUAAAUUACACACAUAAACAUCAGCAACAGAGAGUUUAGUUGCACUGUCAAAAAAAUCUCAGUCCUUACACCAACCUUCUUCGAAUAGAAGGAAACACACACAUAAAUACAUAUAAAAUAUGUAUUUUUAGAUUUUCUCGAAAUCCGUGCGUCAAACUCAAAAUUCGUCAGCGUCAUUAGCUCCAGAACAGCUGACCCGGUCGAAACGAGCUAUUGGACUGCUAUGAACAGAGUCCGGUACGAGCCAGAAGCCAACUUCUCACCGCGGCUUCUCCGGAAAAUCGAGUUACUAUUCACUUUAAGUGAAACUUGGAAAUCGCGUAGAAUUUCCGUUUUAACUUGUUUUCGCCCGAAACUUGACGAGUGCUUUUGUAAUUAAAUUACACACAAAAACAUCGUCAACUGAGAGUUUAGCUACACUGCAAAAAUCUCAGUCCUUACAAGCGAGACGAUCAGUGAUAGUGUUGCCCUCCCUGUACGUGUGUUGAAUAAUGAUCUUGCAGGCACUCUUGCAUCGACUAUUUCGUCCCCUAGGGCGCAUUUUUGAUACCUUUGCUGAAGAGGUGGAUCACCUAGAACAAGUCGCUCUCCAAGAUAACGUGCGAAAAGCCGGCCUUGGUUGUCUCCGUCAGCGCCAAUCGUUUGGUCCAUAGCUCCGAGUAUAGAGGAUGGACGUCCAAAUAGCACGAAGCUCCGAUGAAGAUGAAGAGGCCAUCAGAGUCUCUGGUCAUGAGCUCGGCACCUCUACUUGAGUCUCUUCCAAUGAAAAAGCCGUCAGUGUUUAGCUUUAUCUAGUCAUCAGGAGGCAGGUGCUAGGAGAUGGCGAAGUCUAUUUCCAGCAGUGGGCUCGCUCCUUCUUCUUUGAGCUCGGCGGGAGCUCACAAACAUCGUAGGGCUGCGAAGGAAGCGGAACGACGAUGCCAUAGAAACCGUUGUCGCCACUGCCAUUGCAGCUAGGUGCAGGGACAAAGCGGCAGGGCACGCUCGGAAGACGGUCGACACAGUAAGCGGCCUUGAACAGUGGUGAAAGAGAAAGCAAAGGGUGAAAUCGAUUCGACGACGCGAUUCAAAGAAUGGGAUGAACGAUUCAGAGAAUGGGAUGAAGCAAGAGCUCUAUAAAGAGAGGAAGCGGAGAAAAAGAAAGGGGGAGAGGUGUAGAGUAAUUAACUAGUGCGAGAGAUUACGAAAUAUGAAAACGAAAUAUGAAAUUCGCUAAAAAAAAACCGAAAUUCUCUUUUAUAGUUAAAAAAAUCAUUAUUGGGACACGGUAUACAAGAAUUCCCUGUUCGAGUGCCAGUCCGAGUUAAAUAAUUAAUUAUUUAGUGUAUUUAGUGUGUUUAUGCAAUAACUAAUAUUUAUUUAUAUUGAUUACCUAAUUAUUAUUUUUUACUAAUAUAAUUAUUUUCUUAACUAAUUAUCUAACUAUUAAAUAAUUAACUAAUUAAUUUAUUAAAUUACUUAUGUUAAUUAAAUUACCAAUUAACAGUACUCAUUCUUAAUUAACUUAUCUAUACUACUUAUAAAAGAGGGAGUUUUAAAAUUUUUUUCUUUCCGAAAGUGCCGGUCGUAUUAAUAUAAUUCCAACCACAUACUAGCAAUAUCAUUCAUUCAACUUAGAAUAAAUCACAGUAAAUUUCACUUUUUAUAUGCGUACCCUAUUUCUUAAUAACCGUCGCCUACAUAAUAUCGUAUUUUAUCACAAAUAAUAUUUGCGAUCUACACAUUUCUUAAGUAUUUUCUUUCUCACGCCACCUAUAUAAUAUCCAUCCAAUCACGUAACAUCUUCCACAUAUAUAAUAUUUAAUCAUAUUUUUUUUAAAAGUGAAUAUAUAAAAAUUAUCUCAAUUUUAUGAGAUAUUUUUCAAUAAAAUAUAACAUAUGAAUUUAAAAUUUAAAAUUUAAAAUUUGUCGAUAAAUGUGAUGCAUAAAUUUAUAUUCAUUUGAGAUAAUUAUUAAAUAGUUGUUGACAGACCUUUUUUUAGUAAGAAAAAAUAUUGCAUUCCAUUUGCGAGAACAGAAAAAAAUUCAUAUUUAUCCAAAUUUCUGCCAACCAAAAGCCAACCGAAAGAUAUCUACUAUAGAAUAUUUUUUACAAGUGCCUCAUAAAAAAAUAUUUCAUACUCAUCAAAAGACGAAAAUCGCUACGUAACACACAUUGAAAAUAGGGGCAAUUUCACCAGUACCCCUCUCAAAUUUAUAAAUUUUAUGGAUAACCCUACAAAAGUUAAAAUAUCAUGCAUACCCUUUAAAAUGUAAAAAAUUAUCAUAAAUACCCCUACAGUCAGUUUUCCCUUAUGAAAUAAGGGAUUAAAUAAUGAAAUAACGAAUUUACCCUAUUAAAUAAGGGAUUAAAUACUGAAAUGACGAAAGUCAGUUUUCCCUUACGAAAUAAGGGAUUAAAUAAUGAAAUGACGAAUUUACCCUAUUAAAUAAGGGAUUAAAUAAUGAAAUGACGAAUUUACCCUUAAUUGUUUGAUACUACUUGAGAAAUGUAGUGGAGAUCCUUCAACUAUAGCUAUUUUGAAAUAAUUUCCUUAAUAAAACCCCUUAACUUUUAGUUUUUUAAAAUUUAGAGAUUUAGCGUCAAAAAAAAAGAAAAUGUAUUAAAUUUAACACAACUUUUCAGCUAAAAUAACUCAAAUAAUUUAAUUUUAAUCGGCAAAAUGUAUGGAGACCCCCUCAACUAUAGACGAUUUUGAUAUUAGACCCCUCAACUUCAAAAUUUUUUUUUUGUUGACACCCUUUUAACCUCUAUUUAUUUUAAUAUGAGUUUUCAUAUUUAUUCAUUAUUAAUUUUAUCAAAUUAAAUAAAUUUAUUAGUUAUUAACUACUAAUUGGUUUAGUGUUAUUUACUUAAAAGUAAGCAAUAUUAAAUUUGGCGAGAUCACCAAUUUGAUAAAAUUCAUAAUUUUUUAAUUAAAAUUGCUUAAUUUUUAAAAUUAAAGAUAAGGAGAUGUCAACCAGAAGAAUAAAAGUUGAGGGGGCCAUUUCAAAAAGACCUAUAGUUGAGCAAGUUUUUUUUCAUUUUCACCUUCCAAGAGACUACGGUAUCGUUUGGUUCGAGGAUAAGGAAAAAGUGGCUAUUCCAGAGAUAGGUAUAAAUUGAGGUAUAAGCAGGGAUUAGAUCAAUUUUGCGUUUGGAUGAAAAUUGGGUUAUUCCUGGGAAUAAAAAAAAUAGUGUUUGGUUAGGUAAGAUGGAAUAAGAAAGAUAGUGGGUUUUAUAAAUAAAAAACAAUCAUAUUAUCCUCUUAUUAUAUAUGAAUUUAAAUUUUUAAAAUUUUAAAUAUAUAUUUUUAAAUUUAAAAUUUUAACUUUGAAAUUUCAAAAUUUGAAAUUUAAAAUCUCAAAUUUUAAAUUAAAAUUUUAAAAUUUAAAUUUCAAACUUUAAAUUUAAGAUGAAAUUUAAAUUUAAUAAAUAUAAAAUAUCAAAUUUUAAAUUUCAAAAUUAAAAUAUCAAAAUUUAAUUUUAAAAUUUAAAAUUUAAAAUUAUAAACUAAUUUUGAGAUUAUAAAUUAUAAAUUUUAAACAUUUAAAUUUUUAAUUUUUAAAUUUUUAAUUUUUAAAUUGCGGUGGGAACAAUUAAUUAAAAAUAAUUUAUUAUAAUAAAUUUAUAAUUUUUUUUUAAAUUCUACUUAAAUUUAAAUUUAAUAAAAGAAUUUAUUAUAAUAUUUAAAUAUAAAUAAUAAUUAUUAAUAUAAUAAAAAUAAUGUAUUAUAAUAUAUAGUACAAUUAAUAAUUUUAUAAUAAAAAUAUUGUAUUAUAAUAUAUAACAUAUUAUAUUUAUAUAAUUUAGUUUUAAUUCAAUUUAUAAUUUUAAUUAAGUUUGAAAUUAAGCAUUGGAAUAGUGCUAUUCCAACAAAAUGGUGGAAUAGCAAAUCCCUUGCUAUUCCGGGAUAACCGGGAAUAGCAAGGUUUGACCGGGAUAAAAUAUCCCGGCCAAAUUUUAUCCUGUUUGGCGGAAUAGCGGGGAUAACUUUCGUUAUCCCAGCUUAUUCCUCCAACCAAAUGGGGCCUACAAGUCUAAGUCCCAAUAAAAAAAUAAAAAAUAAGUUUAUAGAGACAUUGUAAAUAGCCUACAAUGGAGGGGUUUUUAUACUAUUGAAAAAGUCACAUUUAGUGCAUUGUACCGGAGUAAAAUUGGUAUUUAAUAUAUAUAACGACACUUUUUAACCAAGGUUGUGAUAAGGGAUAUAUAUGAUUAUUUAUGAAAUUCAGAAGAGUAUCUAUGAUAUUUUGAAUUUUAAAGUGCUAUUGAUGAAAUUUUAGUCUGCAGAAAGAGCAUGUAUGAAAUUUUCCCUUGAAAAUAUUUAGUAUCUACUAUUUUUCAAUUAACUAACUAAAAAGAAAUUACGUUUGAAAAAUAAAAUGAUUUAAAUAAACCUAUCAAAUCAACUUUAAAUUUUAAAUUUGAUUCAUAAUUUCAAAUGUGAAUUAAUAUUUUAAUUAAAAAUGUAAAAUUAAUUAAAAUUUCAAUAUUUGGGUGUGUAAACAGUAUUUCAAAUCCAAAAUAAUUAAUUAAUUUGAAAAUAUAUCAAAUUUCAAAAGUAGAUGGGAUGAUAAAUAAAUUAUUGUCUCUAAUAAUUAUUUGUAUUCAAAUUGUUGAUUCAAAAUUAACUUUAAAUUUUGAGUUUUAUUCAUCAAUUUAAGUUGGAAUUCAUUAAUUUAAAUUUUAAAAUUUAGAUACACAUUAAAAAAAUUAAAAUUAGAAAAAAAUUAAUUGAUAAAUAAAUUUAUACCGCCAAUGAUUAUUUAAAUUUAAAAUAUAAAUAAAUAUAAAAUUAAUUUAAUUAAAUGUGACGUGAAUUGGACGUGCACUAUAACUAGUUAUUUAAAAUUUAGGACUAUCUAGCAAUAUUUAUGAUUAAUUAGUUAAUUAAAUUUGUUAAUUAUUAUUUACUUAAUAUUUUUAUAUUAAUUAAUAGAUAAAAUAUUAUUAUUUUAAUUUCAAUUUAACUAUUGAAAUACUAUUUUUUAUUCCAAAAAACAAGCCAAUUUUUAUCCAAAAACAAAAUUGGUCUUGUUUUUGUUUAUUCUAAAAGUUUAUUUAUAUCAAGAAUAAUUAUACUUUAUUUUCAAGCUAAACGAUGCCUAAAAUUUUUUUUUUUCUUUUUAAUCUUGCGCAUAGACUCUUAAAUCUUAGAAACCCCAAAUUUAUGCAAGAAUAAAGAUAUCCAGUUUUUUUUACUUCCUUAAAUUUUUUAUUUUUUUCUUCCUCUAUGUUUCUAUACUUUUUAAACAUAAAUUAUAUAUAUUAUGUUGAAAUAUUUAAUUAUUAAAUAAAAUAUUAAUUUUUUUCUUUAAUAACCUAUGAAAUUAUGGUGGAAUUGCAAAGUGAGGUUACAACUUCUUUACUCUUGCAACUCCUCUCUUUCUAUACUUUUCAUCUCUCUUUCUAUACUUUUCAAACAUAAAUUACAUAUAUAUUAUGUUGAAAUAUUUUAUUAUUAAAUAAAAUAUUAAUUUUGUUUUUAAUACCCUAUGAAAUUAUGGUAGAGUUGUAAUUAAAAUUAUGUUGAAAUUAUGUAGAAUUGGUGAAGCCAUACGACGAGUAUCGAGUCGUUGUAAUUCGAAGCAUCUUGUGGGGACAAGUAAUUAUUUUGCUGUAUCGAUUUGAAGGUUUUGUCAACUAUAGAGGACUUGAAUUUUUUUAAAAAAAAACGAGAUUUGUGUGUCUCGACUUGAUUAACCUGCGGCGGUCUAGUCACGUAACACCCUUCUAGACAAUCCUCAAAUAAUUUUAUUUGGAAAAUCGUGAAUUAUUUUUUGCUUUUAAAAGCAGUAUUUAUUUAUCAAAAAUUGAAUUUAUGUAAGUACCACGAAUGAUUUACUGCUUUCUAAAAUACGAUUACUACUUUUUUUAACUAUUUGAUGCAUGUAAAUUUAAUUUUAAAAAUAAAAACUUUAGAACCCCUAUUUAUAAUUAAUAAUCUCUACGAGUUUCUUGUCAAAUAUUUCUAUCUAUGUGAAUCGCAUUGUUUGAUACUUUGAUCCUCAAACUAUGAGACCGAUGACACUUUGAUACUCAAACUUUUAUUUAUUAUAAUUUUUAGUUUAAAUUUUUAAAAUUAUUAUAAUUAAGUUCUAUAACCUAAUUUAGUUUGACUAACUAUUGAUAUAUCAUUAAUAUAGAGGUAAGAUAGUAAUGCUGUGAUUGAAAAGGCACUAAUAAUUAAAAUAUUACAUCAUUUUAUAUUAAUAAUAUAUUAAAGUUAACUAAAUUAGAUUAUAUAAAUGAUAAUUUUGAAAUUUUGAGUCACAAAUUACAAUAAGUUAAAUUAAAAUUAAAGAACAAAAUUUUCCUCAGGAAUUUAGCCAUUUCCGCCUCUCUCUCUUACUCUCGCUCGCAGUCUCACCGUCUUUCUCUCUCUCCCGCUCUCUCGUAUGUCCAACCGUGCAAGUCACCAUGGAUCCAAAAGCAUUAACACGGCAUCUUCGCCGCGUAGAACCUCUCUCCGCCAUUGUCGUCGUCCUCCUCCUCCUCUUGGUUCUCGUUCUCGCUGCUCUUCUCCUCUUCCUCUUCUCUCCCAACUCCAUUACCUCCAUGUACGCCUCUCUCUCUCUCUCCCUCAUCAUCAUUAUCAUCAUCUUCUUUGUAUCUCGGAUCUAGUAACCCGGUGUUCUCUCUCUUUGGAAACAGUCACAUUACUUCCGUGGAGGAGAGGGAGAAGCCCAUCGCCAUUUGGAAAGCUCCCAGACAGGUAGAGUGGAGGCCCUGCGAGUGGUGGUGCAACAACGAAGCUUCGUCCCGUAAGUCCCUGAACCCUAAAUGGACCAAUUCUUGCUUUUUAGGGCUAGGGUUUGGACCCAAUUUUGGAACUUUGCAGGAUACCAAGGAUCUACGUGCUGAGGAACCGGUUUUGGCAUGAAACCCCCUUUCUUUUUUUCUCUAUGCAAUAUAUUGUAACUGCUCCAAUAUAUUGUUCGUCAAUUUUUCUUGUAAUUUAUUUGUUGAACGCAGUGGAAAUAUUUGUUUGUACCUUUUGCGGAAGUGACCCGUGCUAAAAUGCGAUGAGUCCUGAUCGUAGAGAUUGAUUCACGUGUCCUUGGAUUAUCCAGGAAGGUCUUCUAACGCUCCAAAUCCGUGAUAGAUCGAACUAUAAAUGAGCACAAUAUCUAAUCCACCGUUCAAAAACCUCUAGAACAAUAGCUUAAUGGAGGAUGUGGUUUCUCUCUCUCACAAGACGGCUCACAAAUUACUCACGAAUUUAUGAGUAUUUUGUCUUUAUUUUUUCUUGUUAUUUUCAUGAGAGAAUAAACCGUAUAUAUAUAAAGGAUCCCAAAACCCUAAUAUGUAAAUAAGAGAUUAGGCCGAAUUUGUUUAUAAUUGUUAUCCUAAUAUGGUUAGAAUAUAUUUCUAAUUAGCUUUUUAAUUUAAAAGCAAGAUUAAUCCAAACCCAAUUAGACAACAUAAUAACCGUCGGAUCGAGCCCAAUCAUAGGCACACCCGAUUCGGUUUAACCGAAUGCCAAUACUAUUAAUGUGAUUAUUUGCUAAUUUCGAAAGAAAACUUUGAACGGGGAUUGUAUCAUGCCGAUACCUUGUCAGCAUGGUAUGGUACGACAAGGGAGGCACAGUCCAUGCCGUUCGGCACUUAAGGUAUGUCUGUUUCAUGAUUGGCAUGAGAAUGAGAAAUGGAAUUGAAUUGUAUUGGAAUGAAAAAAUAGAAUAAUGAAAUAUCCAAAACUAUUUGGUUCAUUAUUGGAAUGAAAAUCGAAAUGAACAAUUGGGACACCUAGGAUUCUGAGACGGGGUUUUUGGUUAAGGGAGGAGAAAAGAGAGAGAGGAGGGGGUGUGUUUGUGAGAGAGGGUUUAGAGUGGUUUACUCUAGAAUGAGCCAAUUCAGAAUUUAAAGCCAGAUUAGGCUAAAUAGAUUGGACCAUUCCCAUUACGUAGUUGAAUGGGAAUUAGAAUCCAAUUUCUAUAAAACAAACAACAACUAUUGGAAUCAAUGAAUCUCAUUCGGAUUCCAAAGUCUAAAAUUUCUGAACCAAACAAGCCCUUAAACCCAUGAGAGAGAUGGAUGUUCAGUUUCCCCUUUCUUUUACUAGUUCUUUUUGUUUGUGUUUUGGGUGACUGCAUAUAUUUAUCUUUGAAAAGUUUGAAAAUUGUACAUUGUCUCUUGAAGUUGCUUUUUCUUUAGAAGGCGUUCCUCUAAAUUUGAAACGUUUGUUAGUUUCUCUACCGAUUGACUACCGCUUAUCAGAAAUUUUUUAAGAAAUAUUAUAAAAUAGAUUUUACUUAUCAGUAGAGUGGUCGUUUCAAAAAAAAAAAAUCAAUUUUAAAUAGUCAAUCAACAGAGAGGGAUAAAUUUGCAAACUUGUGAAAUGUAACUCAUAAACUGUAGGGGAAAAUUCUUGAUAUUAAAGGUUUUGAGGGGAAUGUAUGCAUUUUCACUUCUUGGCAGGAUUAUUUAUGCAAUUCCUCCCUUGCUGCAGCUCUCCCAAUAAAGAACAAUGGCUACAUCAGAAUCGACUGUUAUGGCGGCCUCAAUCAGAUGAAACAUGAUGUAUGUACAUCACUGUAGGGAGCUAGCGUUUUCCAUGUUAGACAUAAGUUUACUCAUUUCAUCUAAACGUUUACUGGGGAAACCUUAGAAUCUCUCUAUUGUGGCUCGAUUCAACUUUAUAAUCCAGUUUUUGGUCACAUUGUUAUAGAUGUCUCAGUUGUCCUGCAGGACUAGCUAUUAAACACCACUAAAAUUGAGCAACUUUCAAUUAUGUGGCUUGAUAAAAAUCUUGUAAUCUAGGUUAUGAUUUCUUAGUUUUGUUGGAUCCUACUUAUUUUGAUUGGUUUUAUGAUCCAACAUUUGUAACAAUCUGAACCAUUUGGAGUAAGGGUGGGAUUAUGUUAGGAUUAUGGAUUUUUUUAGUUGUGUGAUGGAAUAGGGAUUGCACGCCUGCUGAAUGCAACUAUGGUUUUGUCGAAAUUUGAAGUUGCUGCUUAUUGGAAUGAAUCAAGGUAAGCUUGAGGAUGCUAGAGAGUAACUGUCUUUGAUUUGUUGAUUGAUAUAGAUAAUUACUGUGCAGAUCUAUCAGCAAUUUUGCAGAUGUUUUUGAUGUUGACUACUUUAUUGAGAAAAUGAAAGGCUUUGUGGCAAUUGUUAAAGGGUUACCAGAAGAAAUUGCAUCAGAAGAGCCAUUUAAAGUGGACUGCACAAGCGAAAGGGCUAUUUUGACUAUGUUGAGGGCGUGCUUCCUGCCCUCUUGGAGCAUCACUAUGUAUCCAUCACACCAGCCAUGAGCCAAAGAAGGGAUAGGUGUGUUUUGAACCUUAAAUUAUAUGAAUGCAUUUAACAUUCACUCAUAAUUACUUGAUUUCUAUAUAAUUGGACCAUUAGUUUAACCCAGUUGACAUUAUGUUUCUUUGUUCAUUUGUGCAAUCUGUUUUCUCUCUCUGUAUAACAUACAUUUCAACUAUUCUACCUCUGAAUCUGUGGAAGCAUUCUUGUUAAUAUUAUUUCCAAAGGUAUCAAGAGUUAGAUAAACAGAUGAAGGGAAAGAGUGGCUCUCUGCAAAGCGAAUGAAGAGUGCCUUGUUAAUAUUCAUUUUUUUAUAUUUUGUAUUGUUCAUCUUUCGGUGCCAUUGUAAUUUGAAAAAAAUUCUGACAAAGCAUAUGUAGCUUGAUGAUAUGUUGGAAAGGCAUAACUUUAAGCGUGAAUUUCUGUAGUACAUGUUUUCUGAUGUAUUACUAAAAAAAUUUACUCUCUAAUUUGAUAAGAUGUUAUCGGUUGCGAUUCUCUGGCUGCUUAAUGACCCGUUACCCAUUAUAUUUGUGCCUUUAGUCUCUAAUCAUUUCUUAAGAAAUAUGCAAGUUGCUAGACAUGAUAUAGAUAAUCAACUUGUACUGGCUUGCGCAAUUAUCCGUCACCUGCUCAGUUCAACCUNGUGUAAAUGUUACACACGAAUCGAAUUAGAAUUAGGAUUCGGAAUUCGGUUAAUAUCAUAACCAACUUGUGGGUUAAUGGAUAAUCUAAUCGGAAUAGGAUUUCGAUUAGGAUUACGUUAGGAUUUUCUAAUUAUAAAUAUAUGUCAUAUGACAUAUUAAAAUUAAUGAAAAAUUAAGCAAAAAGAAAAAGAAAACCCUAGACGUCAAUCCUUUUUCUUCCUUAAGUCCUCCACAAUUAAUCCAUCGGUUUCGAUCUUCAAAAGUUGCUAGCACAUCUAGAAGAUUGAUUCAUCUUCCUCAAAUCGACGCAAGGGUUAAUUCAUGAUCGGAUUACGGAUUGAAGCGGUCGUCUAAAUUCGAUCAAGGGCGUGAUUUCGUGUGGACACGAGUAGAGGCCAGGUGCGUUAGCGGCUAAGCGAGGACGAAUAAAUUUUUACCAACGAUUGUCGACUUCGCGGUGAUCUCAACCCGCGCGAGGUAAAAUAUAAUAAAAUAUAGAUCCUAUUUGAUUAGAUCAAUUAGAUCUGUUAUUAAUGAUCUAAAACGAAACAUGAGGUGAUCUUUGGUUUUCAAGAAAAUUUUUAAUUGUGUUAUUUUCUUCCGCUACGUACACAUGAUUUUCUUACACAAAUAUUGUGUGAUAUUUUGUCUGGUCAUCAUGAACGAUGCUACCAUCACUUUCGUAUAAGUGCUGCUACAUUUAUUGCACUCUGCGAUGCGUUAGUCAGGAGAGGGUUGGUAAGUAGUACAAGAAAUAUGAUUGCUGACGAACAGUUAGCCAUAUUUCUAUUUGGCAUAGGCCAGGGCGUUGCAAAUCAAAUUAUCAUGGAAACAUUCCAACAUUAUGGAGAAACUAUCAGUAGAUAUUUUAACAACGUUGUACGUGGCAUUAUGAGGCUAAAAGAUGAGUACAUAAUGUUGUCGUCAAAUAAUACUGCCGUGCAUCCAAAGAUUAGGGAUAAUCCAAAUUUUCAUCCUUUCAAGUUAUAUACGCUUUUAUAUAUAAUACAUUGGAUUAUAAAUAUUUUAUUACUACUAAUGUUUUUCAUGUUUUCUUUUCAAUUGUAAAAUGCUAUUAGUGCGAUCGACGGAACACAUGUUCCAUCUGGUAGUCCAAAGGAGUAAACAAGCACGAUUUCUCUUUUGGAGAGGGUUUACAUCACAAAAUAUGAUAGCUUGCCGUGUCAUUUGAUCAUAAUUUUAUAUUUGUAUGCACAGGUUGGGAAGGAUAUGCUGCCGAUAUGAGAGUAUAUUGAUGGGCAUGCGAAAAUGGAGGUUUCGUUGUUCCCGAAGGUAGCCAUGCUAAUUUUUUCCCUCUUAUAAUAUAUAUCUAUAUUAUAUAUAUAUAUAUAUAUAUAUAUAUAUAUAUAUAUAUAUAUAUAUAUAUAUAUAUAUAUAUGAUUAUACUUUUACUGAUAAUACAGAGCUAUUUAACAACUAGUAAUUAUCUUAAUUGCAGGAAAAUAUUACUUGAUAGACUCGAAAUACGCAAAUACAGAUAAAUUUCUUACACCCUAUAGAGGAUAGCGUUACCAUAUUAGUCAAUUUGAUGCUAACACACGGGCCGAGCCUGCGCUGGUUUCCGGUGUGCAGGUGCGCAGGUGCGGGCCCGAGUCCGCAACAGGCCAAGCCUGCGCAGAUGGCACGAGUGCGCGGGUGCGGGCCCGCGUUCGCAGCAGGUCGCGUCAUCCCGCUCGCAGUAAAAAAAAAAUGCACAAAAAACAACGUAUGUAAAAAAAAAUAUUCACAUGUCCUAUGAUGAUCAGAACAAAAAAUUAAAACUAAUUUAAUUUUUUUUUUCCUCUUUUCGAUUUCACAAAGAAACCAAAAAUUGCAGAACGGAUCUACAUCAAGGAUUGAUCAACGAAAAAUAUGCGAUCUAAAACACACGCAUCACAAGCAUGAUCAUAUAAAACGAAAACAAGCAUGCAGGCUCUGAUACCAAUUGUUGGAAAUAAUAGGGCAGCGGAAACUUACAAACCGGAUAGCCAACGUAUCCGGGAAUCCAAAUCGAAUCGGAUUGCUUGUUUUACAAGCCUUCUUGGAUCGUCCUUGUCUCGAUGCUUCUGGAUCUCCCACGUUUCUCGCCUUCUCCUUCGCGUACGCCUUACGUCACGAAUCGGAUACGGAUUUGAUGCGACGGAUGCCAAUCGAAGAGGGCUACCAGAGUCCUCUUCUAUAUCCACACUCCAAAACCCCGGGAACGUAGGUGGAAAUCCCAGAAAGGAAGAAAAGAGAGAAUCGUAGAAUAUUGAAUUAAUUCGAAUAUCAAUCGUCUCAGAUGGGAGAAACAAGGGGACGUAUAUAUAGAAUAACGAAACCCCUAAAUAUUCUGAAUCUCAAAUAGAUUAGGAUAAGGAUUAGGAAAUCUAUUAACAUAUAAUAGAUAUCCACUAAUAGAUACGUUUCUUAACUGAUAAGAAACAUAUAAUUUAUUCUUAUCCUAAACCCAUUAGGAUAAAUCACAAUCCACAUCUUAAGUGGAUCGGGUUAAAUCAAGACCCGCUAAUGUGGACACACCACAUGGCUACAGUUUGAUUCAAUGUGUUGUUAUCUUUGUAACUGUUCGUUGAUUUGAAGAUCUUUUUGGUGUAUAUAAAUGUUUGUGUACUUAGUUAUUUUGCCUACAAAUUUAUAUUAGUUUUUCUGUCUUGCAUUAUGUGAGCGUUGAAUUAAUUUAAUUUUACAGUGAAAGAAAUUUGUAUUUUGUAUCAUACUAUUAUUUUCAAGGUAAUUGCUACUUGAAUCUUUGUAUUUUCAUGUCAGCCUUAUUUAUCUUGCCAGAACUACAAUUAUCUCAAAAUUGUUUUCAUAUGUAGCUAAUAGUUUUGUAAAAAAAUUGGGUAAAGUAUUUGUAAUUUAAAAUUGUUUUCAUAUGUAGCUAAUCAUUUUUACAAAAAGUGGGUAAAGUAUUUGUAAUUUGAACUCAAGAAAAUUUUAAAAUAGAUUUUCGUAAAAUUUUGAUAAUUUCAAAGGCACAAAAGAAUAGUGUAAAAUUAUAUUGGUAACAAAUUACGCUAAAAUUAAUUUAAUUUGACCCCCCGAAAAAAUUGCAAUCAUCUAAAUUUAAAUGCAAAAAUUAAAAGCUCUUAUUUAUAUAGAUUCAUGUGAGGGGUAUUUUGGUCUUUUUAUCUCUAUAACAACCCACUAUUAUUUUUAUUCCACUUACUCCAACCAAACACUAUUUUGUUUAUACUUGGACUAAAUUCAAUUCUCAACCAAACACAAAAUUACUUAACCCCAUCUUAAUGCUGAACUUAACUCUAUCCCUGAAAUAACUAGUUCUUACUUAACCCCGAAACAAACCGAGCCUUAAAAAUUUAUUAAAUAUUAAAAUCUAAACUCUAUUUCCUUUAGACUGGAUUAUAGUUUUCUUUUUUUUACAGUGAGUUAAUAUUACUUCCAAAUAAUACUGAAAGAUUUAAUUAUUAAUAGGUUGGAUUUUAUAGGAUAAGUUUACAAUUAUAUUUAGGAGAUAACGGAAUCCGCUUAUUUACAUCAAAAUAAACAAUAAAAUUCAAAAAACUAAUUUUACCAAUAUCAAGUUACGCCGAAACAAAUAGAAAAGGUGAUUGAAUUUAACUUUCAGAUUGUAUGAGUUAUAUCAAAAUAAGCAACAAAAUAACUACAAUUUAGAAAAAUUCAAAUACCAUUGCACUUGAAUUAUGUUGGAUCUAGAGAUUCCUCAAUCCAAAUGUCUUCCAAAAAUUACAGUUUUGAUGCUAAAAUCAUGUAAGGUGUGGUUGUCCGAAUAUAUUGUAUCUUACAAGUUUACAACUUUUUACUAGUUUGAAAAGAGUCCCUAGGGAAAUCACUGAGGGCGUAUUUGUUCGAGUUAUAUAAUAUUACAGAAUAUUUUGAUAUAUGCAGAUAUCUUGUAUUUUUAAAUAAGAUUACUACUGACACUGAAUUAGCGCGUUUGGUUUAAUGCGGUAAUAUAAUACUGGAUUGCAGUAUUUAUAGCAUUACUAUAAUUGAUUCAGUUUAUAAAAUUCAGUAAUCUUGACAAUAAAGUAUAAUCUAUUCCAAAAUUGCUCUUAGCCAUAUUUUGCAAACAUUUUUUUUUACUGGUUACAAAAAUAAUUUUUUUACUAAAUUUUAUUUUAAAUAAUUUAAAUUUUUUAAAUUUUAAAUUUUAAAUUUUAACAAAAGUAUAAAAUUUAAAAUUUGAAGAUAAAAAAUUUAAAAUUUGAAAAUUAAAAUUCAAACUUUGCAAUUUACUAUUUGACAAUUCAAAAUUUUAAAUUAAAAUUUUUAAAAUGACAUAUUGAAAAGGUUUCAGGUGUUGGAGGGAUAAACUUGUAAUUUUAUAUAAUAUACAAAAUUAGUCGCCUUCAGUAUCCAGCAUACACACCAUCCCGCUCGAUAAUAUUUUCGGUGUUAUCUUAUAAUUUUUAUAAUACUAUAAUAUAUACCAAAUAAAUUAUAUAUCAAAUAAAUUAAAUAUAAAAAUUUUGAUAAAAUUGUCUGUAUUACUGUUCGAACAAUUCGGAUAUAUCUAACGCUACCAAAAAGGGGAGGGCGCAACGUGGAAUUGAUGACUGGAUGAUGAAUCAGAUUGGUGGGUGGGUCUGGGACGACUCAUUAACUUUUGGCGGAAACCAGGCUUUAAUUUCUCUUCCUGUACUUGCAACCAUACAACAGUCACAUGUUGCCCGUUGAUUUGACCCAUGUACCGAUGCUGGGUUACAAAAUACCAUGUUUUUUUUAUGGGGGUAGGUCUAACACUGUUGGGCUCCAAAAAUUUAAAAACUAUUUAAAAUUAAUUCUUAGUAAAAAAAAUAAUUAUAAAUAAUAAUAAUAAUAAUAAUAAUAAUAAAAUAAGUAAAAAAAUAUCUAGACCUUAAUUAGAUAUAUAUAGUAUAAAAACUAGAAUAUACAAUUUACAACUAUAGUUGCUGAUUGGACUGUACGUACGUUUAUCCAUUUGAAAAUUAUAUUCACGUAGUUUUAUGUACACCGUAACCGUAAUGAAUUCAACUCUUCGUCCCAGUUUUGUUUCAUCGAUUAACCUUAGAUGAGCUUCAUUAUAAAACAUAGCUCAGAUGUCUAGUUAAAGUGGGUGGGUGCAUUUAUUCUCAUAUGUACGUGUGGCGUUCGAGGACGACUCUCCGCAUCUUAUCACGACCUAACUGCAAUGGACCAUGCACAUGCAACACGGGUCACUUCACAAUUAUUAAAUGCAACGUAUACCACCUUUACAAGUCACUGGUUGCUCGUAGUUUAGGAAUAGGAGGAAAUUAAUAACAAGUGUAAGUAAACUACGUAGGCUUUUUUAAAUCAAAAGUAAAGGCCAAAAAUCGUACUAAAUUUGUGUGAUGCGAAGGGAUAUCGAAAUAUCAUUUUCAAGCUAAUUAAACUUUUAGAAAAAUUAAUAGGUUCUGUUGGCAAGUGGCAUAUCCACAUCGGCCGAUCUAUUAUUUCAUCCUUAUACACAUAAUAAAUCCAUUAUUUAGUUGAGGAAUAAAGUAGGAAUAGACUAUUUUAUCUCUCUAAUUCAUCCAAACACUAUAAGAGGGAGUGGGUUUAUUUAAUCCCCUCUUAACGGGUUAUUCUAGAAUAACCCAUUAAGAGGGGGAUUUGUUGUUCCACCCUUUUGGUGGAAUAACAAAUUUUUCUCUUUAUACCUCUACUAGUUUAAUAAUAAAAUAUUAUUAAUUAAUAUAUUAUAUAUAUUAUUUUAUUAAUUAAUUAGCUAAAUUAAAAAUUAACUAAUUUAAUAAUAAAAUAUUAGCUAAAUUAAUAAUUAUUUAUUAGUGUGUUUAUGCAAUAACUAAUAUCUUCAUUGAUUAAUAAAUUAAUAUUUUUACCAACAUAGCUAAUUAAAUAAUUAAUUAAUUAAUUAAUUUACUAAUAUAUUAAUUUAUUAGCCUAAUUUGUUAACUUAUUAAAUUAUUUAUAGUUAGAUAAUUUAUUAAUUAACAGUACUCACGCUUAAUUGACUAAUGAUUAAUUAAUCUGUUCAUUAAUGUAUUAAUUAACAUUUAUGAUUAUCUAAUAAUAUUCAUGAUAAAUUAAUUUUUUAAAAUUAUAAAUUUGAGAUUUUAAAAUUUUAAAAUUUAAUUUUGAUUUUUAAAAUUUAAAAGUUUAUAUUUUAAAUUUUAAAAUAUAAAUAUAAAAUAUAAAAAUUCUAAUUCUAAUAUAAAGAAAAGAAUAAUAUUAUUAUUUUUUAUUUAUAACUAACCACUUUAAUUCUUAUUCCAUCUUACCUGAGCAAACGCUAUUUUUCUUAUUUCUAGGAAUAAUCUAAUUUUCAUCCAAAUGCAAAAUUAAUCUAAUCUCCGCUUAUACCUCAAUUUAUACAUAUCUCCGGAAUAUCCACUUUUUGCUUAUUCUCGAACCAAACGAUAUGCAUAAGAUGUAGAUUAUUAUUUAUCUUAAGUUACGAGCAAAAUUAAGUUAUAUAUUUCUUAUUAAUUAAUAAAUAUAUCUACUAAUAUCUUAACAGAUAUUCUUAUUUUUACUUUAUGUGAGAAUCAGGAUGUCUAUACUUAUUCUUAUCUUUUUAUGAGAAUCAGAAUAUUUUAAGAGAUCUAAUAACCUAUAUAUAAACCCUUUUCUCUCUGAUUUUGUAUACGUAAGAAAAUGAUUUUUUUUUUCCCCUUCUUCUCAUUCUACUUUCUCUUUGAAAUUUUCACAUCUCUACUUCUUGUCGAGGGUUUUGGAGGGCAGACAAUUGUAGAGACUCUAAUAGCCUUAUGCGACCAUUAAGCAUAGAUAUCUUGACACAACGUUCAAUCGAAAAUCUAGAAAAUUAUCGUAGAUACAGGAGGUUGUAAGAUAAGUACGAUGUUUCAACUAAGGUCUAAAAUGCCGCACCGUGCCGUAUGGCACGGGGCGGCACGUACCGUGCCACCAAGAAGGUGGCAUGGUACAGGAGGGGUCUCAGACCCCCCUCCAUGCCACGGCACGCAGUGGCGUGCAGCACGAGAUAGAGCGGUAUGGAGCAGCGUGGCAUGGCACUGUGCUUUUUUUUUUUUUUUGCUUUUUUUAUUCCUUUUAUUUUUUUCAUUUUGUUUUAUUAUUUGGGAUAUCCAAAAUAUUCUGUGUACUUCAUGCCCUCAAAGACAUUACAAAUAAAAAAUUUACUUAUUAGAUAAGUCAAAAAAAUUAUAAUUUAAUUUUUUUUGUUUAUCAAUAGACGGACAAAAGAUUUGUCCAAACUCUCCGCUUCUAUCACAUAUAUCUAUUUUUUUCUUCACAAAUUAUUUUAUCAAAAUUUGUCGCACCGUAAAAUUUUUGCCGAAUUAAGAAAACAAAAUCGAACUCAAUAAACAAAUUUUGAGCUACAUCAAACAUAAAAAUUUAUUUUUGCGCUAGAACAUUGAAAAUACUAAUAAAAUUAAAAGCUAAAUUAAAUCAAUUGAUACUUUAAUUUAUUUAAUUUAUUUGUCAUAUAAUUUAUUGCUUAAUUUUUUUGAUAGAUCAACUAAUUUUUUUAAAAGAAUUAAUUAAAAAAUAAUUAUUUUCAAAUACUUUUUAAAAUUAUUUUUAAAAUUAUUUUUUUGUAUUUUAUAAAAAAUGGACUGUAAUAUGGUCAAAAAAAGAUAUCUUUGUAUUUUAAAAAUUCUAAUCUGUAAAAAAUUUUAUUCUUGUAAGGACUGAGAUUUUUGCAGUGUAGCUAAACUCUCAGUUGACGAUAUUUUUGUGUGCAAUUUAAUUACAAAAGCACUCGUCAAGUUUCGGGAGAAAUCGAGUUAAAACGGAGAUUCUACGCGAUUUUCAAGUUUCACUUAAAAUGAAUAGUAACUCGAUUUUCCGGAGAAGCCACGGUGUGAAGUUGGCUUCAGGCUUGUAUCGGACUCCGUUCCUAGCGGUCCAAUAGCUCGUUUCGACCGGGUCAGCUGUUCUGGAACCAAUGACGCUGACGGACUUUGAGUUUGACGCACGGAUUUCGAGAAAAUCCAAAAAUACAUGUUUUAUAUGUAUUUAUGUGUGUGUUUCCUUCUAUUCGAAGAAGGUUGGAUUUUGUCGUGAAUCCGUGGUUGAUCAAGACGAAACGAAAUUGCAGCUUUGUUGUCUCCGUCGUGCUGAUCGUACUGGUACAAUCUGUUCGCAAAUCUGACUGAUGGAUCUGCGGAGAUCGCGCGUUGAUCGAGGAGAGGUCGGUAGUGGCAAAACGGUAUUUUCGCAAAAGUCGCGAUAUUUUAUGUACCGUUUUGCGAGGGAUCGCACGUGGAGGGGCGUUCAUGCGUUUUAGUCGUACUGUGAGGGACUCGGAUUGAAAUUCCGAUGUUUGAGGGGCUUUCUCGCUUAGUUGCACCCUGUAUAUAGUUGUUUUCUAGGGUUUGGAGCCAUCUAACCCUAACCUAGCCUUGCCCUAGCCCCCUAGCCGCCUCCCCCACAUUCCCCUGCUCCCCCUGCGCGCGCCCCGGCCACCUGAGCACGCCGCCGGCUGCCGGAGCUCUCCUCUCCACCCACUCUCCAUCUUUCUCCAUCUCUUUCUCUCUCCCUCUCUUCUCUCGGGUUGUGUGAAGGCCCGGGGCUGCGCCUCCUGCAGACCCUCCCCCUGGAUUUCACCGUGCUCCGGCAACCUUCCCCGCCGACCGCCGCCGUCGCCGGGCGCCGCCGCUGCUGCUCCUGCGGUCUGCUGCAACCCAGGCCGAGCCUGGCCGAGCGGGGUUGCAGCUGCUGCCAGCGCGCCGCCACCGCCUGGAAACCCUCCCGCCGACAUCCCCCGUGCCCGGGCGCCCCUUCCCGCCGGUCGCCGCCACCCCGACGCGCCGCCGUCGCCGCCUCGGCCAGCCGCGGCCGCCCAGCCCGAGCCCAGGCUGUUGUUGUUUGCGGUCUCUUUCCCGCGCCGCCGCCGCUUGGGUCCGCACCCGAGGAGUCCCUCCGACCUCUUGCCACCCUCCUCCGCCGUCCCCGACCUUCCCCGGCCGCCGCCGUGGCCGGAGAAACCCGCCGAGCCCGAGCUUCUCUCUUGCGGGCUCGGGUUGCUUCGCCGACGCCGCCGCCGCUUCUCGUCGCCAACCGAGGUGAGCACGGUGUUCCUCACCUCCCCCGCACCCGCCCCUGGCCCCCGCGCGCGCCGCCGUGCCGCCGGAAGCCGGCCGGAGCAAGGUUGCUCCGGCCAAGCCCGAAAUAGGACUUUGUUUGGGGUGUUUGUUGUCCUGGGCUUUUCGAGCCUCCCCGACCUCUACGGAAGGGAGCACGAUGAUCCUGGCAAGUUGCUGAUCAUCGUGCUCACCUUGGUUUCUGUCGGGAAGGCCCCGUUCCUCCGUUUUGGUGAUGUCGCUCCGUUUCAGCCUUUUUGGCUGCUGUUUCGGGUUUGUGCUUGUUUUUUCGGCGAUCCGAGGCUGUUCCAAUGCCUCCGGAGGUGAGCACGGUGACCGCUGGUCAGUGCUGAUCACAAUGCUUACCUUCCCUUGGAUCAGAAGUGUCCGGUUAGUUCUGUUCGGCGCGAUCUUCCCUGACUGCGCGCUAUUCUCUGAACCUUCGGGUUGCUCCCGCGCUUCCCACAGCGAGCCGCUGUGCUCUGGAUCAUGAGCACGGACUCCGGUACGUCGAGACUUGUCAGUACGUGUCUCUGCGGACUUCCGAAGUCCUCGGUUUGCGUGAAUGAGCCGCUUGAUCGCUCAAAUUACAUAAAAUGAUGAGAUUUUAUGUAAUUAGAGGGUCUUUUAUGCAUUUAUGCUUUGCGUGGCUACUGUGGGCAGUGUGUGGGAGUUUGUAAUGACCGCUGGACUGAUUGUCCAUGAUCCUGUAGUUUUUGCGGAAAUCGAAAAGUCGAUUUUGGUGCGUUUUUCGGCGAAAUUCGGCGAAAGAACGCGGUUUCGGUUCGGAUUUCUUCCGACAUUGUUUGGUUGCUCUGUGAGUAGUCGCUAAGCCUUGUUGGCUGGUCACCAUCAUCACAUUGUGGGUUCGGUGAUGAUGGGUGAGCGACGGUGGGUUCCGGUGUCGAAAUAAACACAUUCGGGAACCCGGAUUCGUACAAUUAUCCGGCGAUAAUUGUGUAGGGGUGUUAUCUUGUGUUUGCUGCCAAAACAUCCAAAUUGAAGUGUUUUGGGGCAGCAGGUGACUCGUGACAUGAGUCGGUGAGUUUCGGGACACUUAGUGGGUCCCGACGGCGUCCCGGUGUGGUUUUCGGGACUUCCGGCGAGUUACGGUAAUCGGUAUUGGGAAACCGAUCUUCAUGAAAUUAUUUGUGGGGUUGUGAAUACUGUGAUUAUUAGUUGUGGGUUAGAUACUAACCCGGUGGACCCUCUAUAGGUCCUGUCGACAUUCUUUUGCAGUCAGGAGANNNNNNNNNNNNNNNNNNNNNNNNNNNNNNNNNNNNNNNNNNNNNNNNNNNNNNNNNNNNNNNNNNNNNNNNNNNNNNNNNNNNNNNNNNNNNNNNNNNNNNNNNNNNNNNNNNNNNNNNNNNNNNNNNNNNNNNNNNNNNNNNNNNNNNNNNNNNNNNNNNNNNNNNNNNNNNNNNNNNNNNNNNNNNNNNNNNNNNNNNNNNNNNNNNNNNNNNNNNNNNNNNNNNNNNNNNNNNNNNNNNNNNNNNNNNNNNNNNNNNNNNNNNNNNNNNNNNNNNNNNNNNNNNNNNNNNNNNNNNNNNNNNNNNNNNNNNNNNNNNNNNNNNNNNNNNNNNNNNNNNNNNNNNNNNNNNNNNNNNNNNNNNNNNNNNNNNNNNNNNNNNNNNNNNNNNNNNNNNNNNNNNNNNNNNNNNNNNNNNNNNNNNNNNNNNNNNNNNNNNNNNNNNNNNNNNNNNNNNNNNNNNNNNNNNNNNNNNNNNNNNNNNNNNNNNNNNNNNNNNNNNNNNNNNNNNNNNNNNNNNNNNNNNNNNNNNNNNNNNNNNNNNNNNNNNNNNNNNNNNNNNNNNNNNNNNNNNNNNNNNNNNNNNNNNNNNNNNNNNNNNNNNNNNNNNNNNNNNNNNNNNNNNNNNNNNNNNNNNNNNNNNNNNNNNNNNNNNNNNNNNNNNNNNNNNNNNNNNNNNNNNNNNNNNNNNNNNNNNNNNNNNNNNNNNNNNNNNNNNNNNNNNNNNNNNNNNNNNNNNNNNNNNNNNNNNNNNNNNNNNNNNNNNNNNNNNNNNNNNNNNNNNNNNNNNNNNNNNNNNNNNNNNNNNNNNNNNNNNNNNNNNNNNNNNNNNNNNNNNNNNNNNNNNNNNNNNNNNNNNNNNNNNNNNNNNCAUGUCUAACGUCCAAAGUCAGAAUCCAAAUGAUGAAAAAAAAAAAAAAAAACUACUUAUUUUAACUAAACCCGGUCGAAUUUGUGGCGUGCCCGAUCCGAACCCGGCUCGAUCCACCCCGACGGACGUGUCGAUCUACGCGACCGAGUCCGGUCCGCCCCAGGUUGUCGGGCUCGUCAGCUCGCGUCUCCGAACCCGGUCCGGGUCGUCGGGCGAGUCGGGCACGUCGGUAGGGGCGCUCUCCUCGUCUGACGCGAUUGGUUUUUAGUAUUAUUUUUUAUUUUUUUCUCUUUUAGCUAGAUGUUUUUAACUAAAAACUUUUUCAUAUUAACCUUUCAAAUGUUUUUCUUGAAGUGGUUAAGAGUAUUUAAAGUAUUAACUUAGAUUAUAUUUAGAUUAUUAUUUUGGGAUUUUUUCUCGAGUAUGGAUAAUUAUCUUGGGAUUUUCUAGCUCAAGUAUAAUUUUACAAUCCGAAAGAAUACAGUGUUUUUGUAUAGGAUUGUUUUGUUACAUUUAGAUUAGACGUUGAAAUCCCAAUAUUUUACAUAUAUUUAUUUAUAUAUAUACCGUUUACUAAACAGUAACCUAUAGUACUUACUUUGAAUACUUUGUUGAAAGAGUUAUAUUUAGCUAAAUUUUUAUAGUGUCUAACUUUGAUUAGUGACAUUUUUUAUUAGAUAUGAUAUCUAAUCAUUUUUAUCAAUCUAACUAUAAGUUCUGCUUUUGCUCAUUUUGACGAGGUUAUGGUUAACAACCUUUUCGUUGCUUUGUGAUUUAUGACGUUUUGGAGUAUGAAUGUUAUCAAAGUCACCUUCUUGAAUAACUUGGGUUCCAAAUUUCACUACAUUGUGCCCCCACACGGUGGCAGACAGACCGUUUCAUGCCGUGGCUGUGCGAAGCGACAGCUGUGUACCAUGCGAACGCACUACUAUCUAUGCGUGCUGGAGGAUGACUAUGCGAAACCAUGUUUGAAUAAAGUCAAAAAAAAAAAAUAAGGUUAUUUGAAAAUAUUAUAAUAAAAUUUUUUAAAUUAGUUUAUUAAUAUUUAUAAACGAUACAUAUCGAAUGAUAUGAGUAGUUAAUUAUAUAAAUAUUAAAAAACAUAUAUUUUAUGUUAAUAUGGUCUAUGUCUUAACAGUGCGGGGCCCUGGCUAAAAUUUUCGGAAUGGUAAAACUUUAGAGUCUCAGCGCCUUCUACACGGUAAAAAAAAAAAAAAGGUUGGACCGGGUGCACUGCAUGUCUGGGCAGUGUUUAUGUUUCAAGGAGACAAGUGAGCCCGUCUCAGAGGAAACAUAAACGUGCCGCAUGGUUGCCUAUGUUGUCCUAGUGUUGGUGUUGGAUGUAAAUUGUUAGUCGUUGGUUAAGUACAAUACGUAAAAGUAUGUCGAUUGUUAGGAAUCUCUACUACGUACGGAGAUUUGUGUGGAAUCUGCAACCUACUACGUUACGUGUCAUGUUGUUAGUAGGAUAAAUUUUCACGAGGGGUGUGUCUUCGAAAAUAAAAAUUUUAGAUUAAGUAAGUAUGUACUUUUAGUAAGUUUUUAGAAAACUUUUGACAAAGGGUGCCUUUGAGAUAAAACUUUUGGCUGAUGGAGCUCCCCAUCUUUUGGUGCUACGCAUUUAGGUAUUUAUGUUUAGGCUCUUGGUGUUUCAUAUGUUUGUAGGGUUUUGACUUCUAGGUAUUUGGUUUAGGUGUUUAGGUGUUUAGGUGUUUAAGUUGGUCGAGUGUUGUAAGUUUGUAGUUCAUACUAGUAGAUUGACUUGGUAUAUUUGAUUGAUUCGAUAUUGCUGUCUUAUCAUUCCUAUUUUUGAUUUAGCUAUUGGACCCAGCCUUCGAGAUAGCUGGCGAUGCUUGCAUGGAGUGCAGAGCAGGGUUUUGAGUAGCGGACGUUAUGGACUUUUUUCCACCCCCUCCACUCUUGUACAUUUGUACAGAGGGGAGGGUCACCCAUGGCGUUCGGCUACUUCCGCUCCUCAUGAGUGGCCUAGUCCUUCUCGACUUUUUAAGCAAUUGUUGUACCACCCAUCUAUACUAAUUUUUUUUUUUUACUAAUGUGAAAAAAUAAAUUUCUUUUGAGGAGUUGUUUUUUGCAGCGUAUUAAUUAGUUCAAUUUGCCAUUUUUUGUUGCUUUUCUAAUUAUGCUUAAAGCAGCUAUGUAAUAUCUUUGCUCUGUGCAUGCUGCGGUUUCUCUCAAAAUAAAUACUUCGGUUCUUUGUGAUUUUCUAUAAAACUUAAUUUGUUGAAAAAAUGAGUUGACUCUGCGGCAUUCCCUUGGUUAGGAUGAUAUUAUAUACAAUUAUUCCAUAGAUUUUGUAACACUUUUUUUUUCUGCAUAAAAAAAUUGUAAUAUUCCCCGAGUGAUGUAAAGGGAGUGUAUUUUGCAUAUCGGCAAUAUUUUUCGGAUUAAAUUUUGACAUUAUUAUUUAUAUUUCACGAUACAUAUAUUUAUUAUUUUGUAUCUUACUAAUGUUUCAUAUCUAUGUAAUAUAUACACUACAACAAAACUAAGCUAUAGCGACACUUUUAAGUGUCCCUAAAACCUAAAAAAAUAAUGCCGGAAAAAAUACCGACACUAAAAAUAGUGUCGCUAUAUGUGCAGUCCCUAGGGUAUAUAAUGACACAUAAUAAAGUGUCGAUAUAUUCCAAAAUAAGUACUACAAUUUAGUGACACUUUUUUUUACUUUUAGUGACACACAUAAGUGUCCCUAGUUUUUUUUUAAAAAGUAAUAUUUUUUUUAUAUAGUGACACUUUAUAAGUGUCCCAUUAUCAUUCAAAUUAUAAUAUUUUAUUUAAACAUCGAGUCUAGUAUUAAACUUUAGUUUAACUAAUAUCAUCAUUUACAUUAAAUCGAUGAGACUCAAAAAAAGCAAUGAAGAAAGUUUCUUAAAUUCUUGUUAAAAAGAUAAAAAUAAAAUCAAAUAUUCAUACGUCACAACAAAAAUAUCCAGUCACUGUAGUAAUUAUAACAAAUCAAACUCUCUAACUGAAAGAAAUACAAAGAAUCAAAAAUUGUAUGAUAACAAAAUCAAAAAGUGUAUAGACGAAUUUUGAUCGGCUCCACGAAUAUAUAGUUGAACCUGCACAUUAAAUAACAUUUGAAUUAGUUCAAGUUUGUGCAACAUCCUUGAUUUGCCAGAGCAUUAAAAAAGAAGAGUGUACUGCCUAUGUUUUAUAACAACAAAAUGCAACAGAAUUCCGCAAGAAAUUAAACAAAUCAUUUUCCGACGAAAUUAGUAUCAAGACAUUAAUAAUCCAAUUCGAAACUGCCGGAUGAAAUUGACACAAGAAACACUGCACAAAAUAAUUAAGUUACACCAUUUAUAGUUCUUCGACUAUCAAAUGAAUAAUGUUGAACUGUUUUAAAUUAGUGCAUAUCAAUCUACAAAUAUCAAUAUAGUAAAAAGCGCUAGUAUAAAUUAGUAAAUUUAUACCAUCGAUUUCGUAAUUGUUGUGAAUCCAAUCCAAAAUAUAAAACAUACAAUUAAAAACAAACUAGACAAAAUUUUAAGACUCUUUAAAUUGAGAUAUAAAAACAAAUUCAUCAUUCAAACAAAUUUAAAUUUAAUGACAUACAAUAAUUGUCAAACAAGAAAAGCCAAAUCAUUUAAUAAAAUAGGAGUUUGCAUAGUAAAUCUCAAUCUAAUCUGAUUACCCAUAUCAAACGAAUCUCCAAUCCAAAUUUGAGUAAGCAAAAAAAAUCAUCCCCAUGUAACUACAUUCUAGUAAGCAAAAGCAGUUUGUUCCAAAUUAAUACAUCUUGGCCAUCAUACUUCAGAAAUGAGGAGUUGCACCAUUAGAGAAAAUGAUUUUAGAGAUGGAUAUAACCUGAAAUUAAGUGAACCUUUUCUUAUUCCUUCAUCCUAAUUGAUCUGCUAUAAAUAAGGAUUGCCUAUCCACAUCUAAUUAGGUUAUGAUUGGACUCCUAUAAAUCUAUUAUGGAAAUAUUAUAUGCUAAACAGCUAAGUGGUAUAUAGGCAGCAGGUCCAGCAAAAAUUACCGAAGUUAAGAAAAGUCCUCAUCAAUAUGUUUAAGAGCAUUAUUUGCACGUUCCCCUCUAAGAAAAGUGAAGAAAUACUAAAAAACUUAGACAAUUGACCUGCCUAAGCAGAACAUGCCUCACAGCUGAAUAAAUGUAUUCCCUAACUGGCUGUCCAGAGGAGAUCAUGUAGCCGUCCUUGAAUUUCAUGGACUUAGCACGCUGAGCCCUAAGCUUUCCACUCACUAUAACCUGAUUAAAUCCCAAGUGAAAAGCUAGGAAUUGUGAUGUCUCAAGUUCUAGAGGAUUUAACAGAAAGCUAUUAUAAAACUUGAUGUUGUAAAGAGAUGAUAAAAUCACUCAAGACUAGACCCUUUUUUUUUUUACACUAACCUCACAACCUUUAGCACUGCUUUCCAUGACAAAUCGGAGUACACCAUAGCAGCCCUGUAAAGAUAGUAACUAUGACACAUCAAAGAAAAGAACAUGUUCAUCUAAAAAGGAACAUGCACCAUUCAGAAGUCAGAGCUGUAAGAACAAGGAAAAUAUUGUAUAGCUAGCACUAAUUUCUCCUUGGCUCUUGGUCCAGCUUGCAAUUCUAGGUAAUGUUGAAACAAAGACUAAUUUAAAAGUUUUGCGACAAAUUAGAUAACUAGUCCAACACGUGUAACCUAACAUUUUCAAAACUAAAUAUGCUCAUAUUCGUAAAAAAACACUUUAUAUGCUUCUAAAUUGAAGGAAACCACAAAACAUGAAUCAGCACUUAUGACUGCCGAAUAUAUUUUUAGAGUUGCAUACCUAGAAAAGCACGUCUAAAAGUUUAAACUUCUAAAAUCUACACGCACCGAUUAGAAUUCUUUCUUUGUUAUGUAAAUAAUAAUAAUACAGAUCAAGAGAAUUCAAUGUCCAAAUGCGACCGAAAAUAUAUCAAUAUGAACGAUCCUCGGAGCAAUAAAGUAACAUAAUCUCAAUAAGCAACACACCUUUCGAUGGAGGAGCCAUAUGAUUGCUCAGAAAAGCUUCAAUAAGUGAAUAAGCUGCAAAAUUAACAAAUUAAUGUAAGAAAAGUUGGAGAACUUACUAGCUAUUCAAUGCACUAUAUAGCCUCUCACCAGAGCAUGAAGAAACUUGAUAUGAUUAUAGUUUUUCAUAAAGAAUGCGGCAAUGUGGCAGAACUUGAUAUUCCAUUCACCACUCGAGACAUAAUAUCAACAAAUCAUGAAUAAAAGUAAAUAAUCUACCAAGCUAUAAAGUGCCGCAACUCCUUAUGUAAAAACUCGACUGCAUAACUAUUCCUCCAAUCCUCAUCACCUUCAAUUUUAUACUUAAAAAACUAGAAACAAUUGAAGCAAUGAGGGAUUUAUACUUAAAAAAACAAAGAAUUAAACCUAGGGUUUCGAGAGUAGUAAAUGAGAAGCGAGAUAAGCUCACCUGGAAGCCUCUCUUCUAAACCCUAGCGCGCCGCGCUCGAACACCAGCGAAAAAAGAGAAUCCGAUAGCCCCCGAUCACACAAAGCGAAUCGAAUGGGCAAUCGAAACCCCCAACCCAAGUAAGACACAACCGAUCUCUCCCUCUGAGCUGGGGACGAGGCGAGUAACACCAAAUCCGAGCAAUUAGAAGCCUAAUAGACAAAAGAAAUAGAGAAAUUCACUACCCCCAAAACCAAGUGAAGCAACAAUUAAAGUAAAAUUUAAAGCCUAAUUUGAAAACAGAGUUUAUAUAGAGUUAUACAAAAAAUACAACUCCAAUAAUCAACUGUUAAUAUUCAGGUAGAAAGAUGAAACCUAAAACCACCCGGAUAUUAUCAUAACUUCAUAAGGCUAAAAUGCAGGAAAGUCCCUACAAAUACCAUGAUUUUCAUUAAAAACACUAUUUCUGAUAGCACUUUUGAAAAUCUCUUUGAUAGCUUUCAGUUCUAGCAAAAAAGUCCAAGCAAAAGUUAAAUUAUUGGUAGUUAGAUGAAACUCUUUGGCUUAGAUUAUGACCAAAAUUACAAAGAAUUUAAAAAUAAAAUUUUAAUUCCUAAAAGAUAUAAUCUACACACUCCCAGGCAAUAACUUCUCUAAUCGCAAAACUUGCUUUGACAUGUUAUAGUUUUCACUUGAUGUAAAUAAAAAGUACUACCGAAUGAACUGCACUACCAACAUGAAAAAACAAGAUAGAUAAGCUGCCGCAGGAAUUCGGAUCUUGUGUGCUAAUUUUAGCUAAAAUGACAAAUAGGAAUAUAAGAAUUCAAAACGAUACGCAUCGACCAAGAAAUUUCUGUCCAAACAAAUGUCAACUGAAUUUGCGGAUAAGGAGCUUCAUAGAGAGAUGUAUGAAAAGAUGAAAGGAAAUUUCAGCACCAUAUUAAGUUUUAAGGGACAAAAGAUUGUUUACAAAUCGAUCACUCAUGAUAGCUUCUGGAUGUAGUUGAGCAAGAAAUCGCCUUGCUUGAUAGUUGCCCGGUAGAAAGCAUUUCUGGCGUCAGGUCGGUUAGUUUCUAGAAUGUUGGCGACUUUGUCUAUCUUGCAGUGAAGUUUUUCGGCUGCUAUGAAGCGAGAAAGUUUCCUGGCAAAAAAAAAAAAAAGUUUAGAUGCAGAUCCUGACCCGUAUAGUUUAUCCCCACCUAAUAACGAAGUCCCCCCAUUAAUCUACCAUAUUAGAAAUAAGCAUCAUGUCAUUUCUGUCAUUAGAGUUCGCCAACAGGUUCCCCAACCUCAAAAAAUUUACAUCAUAUAUAAAUCCUAUAUUCAAAAGAAGCAUCUAUAACAUAACCAUGAUGUAUUCACAAUCAUUGCAACCAACUGGUAUCCAAUUAAGAGUAGAGAAGUAACAGCCCGAAAGAUUUAUGAGUAAUUUGUAACUCUGCGCUUCAGAUUGAUAGCAGCACAUCAAUCAAAUUUACAGCAAAUAGAGUUAACAAAUAUUACAAUUUUUUUAAAGCAAUUAAGUAGUUUUCUUUGGUAGAGUCUUUUGAUCAAACUGGUGGUGGGCACUCUUGGUUUUCAGAGACAAGCCAAAAACUAAAACCAGUUCAAUCUCUCUUCGAACUGAUUCCGAAGCAAUACUACACGGAAAUCGAACUAAAACCGAUUCGAGCAUUUCGUAAGAGCUUAUUCCAUGAGAUUAGAUCGUAAAAGCUUACAAAUCCCUGUUCUAAUGUCCAAAAUCCAAUCUUGAUGAUUCUAAUCCUUCUAUCUAAUCCUUCUAUACUCCAACAGAGUAAAAUUGGUUUAUGCAUUGCACAUCAAAUAGGAAGCAGAUCACCAAAAAAACAGGAAAAAAAAAUUACAUGAAUGGGAAUCGAGGAUUUAAACCUAAUAUGAAUCGAAUCAAAUUCUUAGUAGCACUAAAAUUACCUCAAGCUCCUUAGAUUGGAAUCGAGGAGAGUGGUGUUGGAGAUGUGAUAAUAAUAUCACAUCUCUUACAUUUCUCCAAGUUUUAGUUGGAUCAACGAUUCAAUAAAUACUUCACAAGCUAAAUGAAACCAAGUCGAGUUCAUGUUCAGAUGAUGUGUGCAACUCAAUCAAGCAUAAGAUACGAAGCAAAAUAUAUGCCUCUGUUCAACAAAGUUCAGCUUAUGACAAUGGUCCCAACAAUCCAAUCAGCAAUUUUGGAAGCUAUUUACCUUCUCUAAAAGCAUAUGAAUCACUAAAAGCUUAGUCAAAGAUCAUCUAUAUAAGCCUUAAUUUGUUAUCAAAGCAAGCGAUUCAUGCACAAAGAGAUUCUUACAAGAAAUUACACCCUAAAUCCUCAUGAACAAGAAACCCUACCAUCGAUCGAGCUCACGUUCUUCUCCGUCUCCUCCUUUCGCGCCUUCGACGCAGCGACGAGCACAGCCAAAAAGUGGUCGCCGGACUCCUUCCCCACCACCACCGCCGCCUCGACGCUUGCCGCUCACUCCCUCGGCCACCGUGGCGUCUCGUACUCGCGGCCGAACUCCGGCGCCGGAACUGUAUCUCUUAUAGUGCUACGUCGGAGGAGGAGGAGAGCGAGGGCCUCUAGGGUUUCGGGGGAUCGGGUGAGGGGAGAAGAGGGAUACGAUCCCUUUUUGUUUUUUUGUUUUUUUUUUUUUUUUUUGUGCCUUGUUAGUUUUUUUUUCUAAUUUUAAGAGUUUUUGAACAUAUUUUGGGACAUUUGUACUAAAGUGUCCUAAAGAAGUGUCUCUACAACCUAGUUUUGUUAUAGUGAUAUGAUUGAUUUGUUCCUUUAAUAAAAUCUGGAUUUGUUCCUAACAAGUUAAAAAUAAAUAAGAUUGAAUUUUUAAGCCUGCACAGGGUGAUGAUUAUGAGCUUAGCGAAAUUUUUUAUCGUGUUGUAUAGACUAGAAUAUUUCAAUUCUAUUAAUUAUGUGUGCCUAAUGCACUAUCUUACAAAUCUUAUGCAGUGAAAUGGCCUUCAAAAAUAUGAUUGUUGAUUUACAUAAAGGUAAAAAAUUGGAAAGCAAGAACUAUACUAUUU
Molecule: long non-coding RNA, 64399 nt
Filed under: Ananas comosus (pineapple)
Lineage: Eukaryota; Viridiplantae; Streptophyta; Magnoliopsida; Poales; Bromeliaceae
Description: long non-coding RNA (ACOM_LNC043154)
Source: RNAcentral